GUUUGUUCGGAACUCAAGAACAAGAUGGAAGAAACAAGUAGUAUUUUUGUGUUUAUUCCAUUAAAAAAGAAGAGAAAUCUAAUUCGGGGGAUGGAUUCAAAAUUGUAUAAGAUCAGCGAUUUACCAGAUUAUCGUAUGGGUAAGUUCAAUCACAUCAUCUAACUUAGUUUUCAUUUUGUUAUUACAGUACAGAAUCUUUUUCAUUUGUGUUUUGUUCAAUUCAUAGAUGAAGAUGAUGAUUCCCAUACACAUGAACACCUUAACUCUAACUGCACACUGUACUAAAACUAGAAUCAGAUAGUGGUUGUGCAUUUGGAGGAGUAUCCUAUAUGCUAAUGUGUUCAAUCAUGUUUCCAUAGUUUUUCAUAAAAUAAUCGCGCACUUCUCCUUCUCCUAUAGGAUAUCCUCUAGAGCAUAUCAUCGUCAUAGUCAUGUGAUCAACAGGUUGCUGAAAAUGCUCCUUGAAGACUAUAUUUGUUUUCAUUUUUUUUAUUUUUUUUUUUUGGUACAGUUUUGUUGAUAGAUGAUGAUGGUAUAUAAGAAGAAUUAAUUAAAUUUAUAUGUUAUUAAUAAGAAGAAUUAAUAAAAUGCUCCUUGAAUGUGUUUAAUGACUCAACCUUGUUUACCUUUAAUUUAUUACUACAAUUUUUUUUUCAUUUAUGUUUUGUUAAUAGAAGAUGGUAUAUAAGAAGAAUUAAUUAAAUUUACAGCAAUUUGGGCCCAAGGACAAAUUAUAAGGUUUCAUUAGGCCCAAGGACACCAGAAACGUUUCUUUAGGCUGAAGGACAAGCCUGUAUAAUGACGCAUAUACCCUGCUAGUGUUUUAGUAACCGUAAAGAAUAUAACACCGCGGGGCGGGGUUUUUUGUUUUUUUUCUUUUAAUUUACAAACAAAACCUAAUUUCUUAUUCCUUCUUUCUUUUUUUUUUCUCUUCUCUCUCUCUCCCUCUCUCUCUUCGUCUAUCUCAACUGUCAAAUUUCAUCUUGAUUUCUUAGGAUUUACUUCAAUUUCUAAGAAUUUCUCUUCGAUUUCUCUUGAUAAAAGUCUGAUUCUUCGAUUUCUCUUGAUUAAAAGCCUGCUUUCUUCGAUUUCUCUAGUUUCUCAUCGAUUUCUCUUGUUUCUCUUCGAUUUCUCUGGUUUCUCUUUAAUUAGAAGUCUUUUAUUUUCGAUUUCUCUGGUUUCUUUCGCAUUACUGUUACUUGUUUUAUUUUAUUUUCCGCUACUUUUCUUCAAAUUUCUAUAAUGACAAGAAUAAAAACUUGUACAAAAACUGGUCCUUAGGCCAAAAAAGAUAAGAAAGCGACAAUGCGAAAGAAGCUUAAAGCUAUUGAACAACAAGAACAAGCACGCAACAAAGAUUACGAAUCUAAGGUAAAUUUCUUGUUUUUCUUUUUAAUAACUUUUUUAGAUUUUUUGUUUUAUUUUAAUAAAGUAGAUGAGUAAUGUAUUGUUCAAAAUUUAUUUCAAGAAAUCAUCAAUCUGUAUAGUUGAUUAAUAUGUUAAUCAACUGUACAGAAUGAUUAAGUGUUGAUUUCUGUAUAGUUGAUUAAUGAUUAAGUGUUGAUUUCUGUAUAGUUGAUUAACAUAUUAAGUGUUGAUUUCUGUAUACUUGAUUAGUCUAUAGUUGAUUAACAUAUUAAGUGUUGAUUUCUGUAUAGUUGAUAAAUGUAUAGUUGGUUAACAUAUUAAGUGUUGAUUAAGCAUUAAGCAUUAAGUGUUUGUUUCAUUAAGCAUUAAGCAUUAAGUGCUUCUUAAGUGGUGGACCAGGUUAAAAUUCAAAAAUAAGUGUUUUUUAAGUUGUUUGUUUAGAACAAACAUUAAGAACUAAAUGGGAUAUUUCAGCGAUUUUGGCCCAGCGAAAAUCUCACGCUUAAUUUAACUUCUUAAUGCUUGUUGUAUUAUUUAGACAAUUCUACCCUUAUAAAAAUUGUUUUUAUCAUCCAUAACCAUUAAGUAAUAUCACAGUCAGAUUCAUUGGCUUAGUUAAUGGUCUUUCCUUUGUCUGAUCACUUUGAAAUUUUUACCAUAAGUUCCUGAAGAUUUCUGUUAUAUAAUAUCUAAAAUUUAGAAUUUUUAGACGAUCGGUUUGAAAGUUACAGAUUUUUUUGUGGUUGUUAUGUUUUAUAAGAAAAAUUACGUUACAGUCAGAUUCGUUUGCUUAAUAAGGGGACUUUCUUUUGUCUGAUCAUUUUAAAAGUUUUACUAUAUGUUCCUGACGAUUUCUAUUGUAUCAUAUCCUAAAUUUGGAAUUUUUAAACGAGUCGUUUGAAAGUUACAGAUUUCUUUGUGAUUGUAAUGUUUUAGAAGAAAAAUUACAGUAAGAUUCGUUUGCUUAGUAAAGGAUCUUUCCUUUGUCUGUUCACUUUGAAAUAUUUUCCAUAUGUUCAUGACGAUUUCUGUUGUACCAUAUCCAAAAUUUAGAAUUUUUAGACGAGCCGUUUAAAAGGUUGAGAUUAUUUUUUUUAAAUAUCAUGUUUCAGAAGAAAAAUUGGCGUGUAUAGUUUUGUUGUUAGAACAUUUUUCUGUUUGUACGACGUAACAAUAUAGUGUAGUUACACAAAUAUUUUGGUUAAGGGUGAAACAUUCUCAUCUGAAGCACAACACUGAAUGGUCAACUUGCACAACCAGAGUGCAAAUCAACUUUAGGUUUUUGGGUUAUGUGAUAAGGUACUGUGUAUUGUCAAAAUAUUUUUUCAAUAAUAGGGUAACAUGGUCAAAAUCACACUUAUGCAUAAACAAACAAAUCAAAAACAGAACUUCUUAAAAAUGAUAACCAAACAACUUUUUCAGCAUUCAGUGUUCAGCAUCCAGCAUUAAGUAUCCAGCAUUCAGCAUUUUAAACAAACACACCCUAAGUGUUGAUUUCUAUAUAGUUGAUUAAUGUAUUAAUCAUUGAUUUCUGUAUAGUUGAUUAAUAGUUGACUAAUGAUUCAUUCUUUUCAGGAGAGUGCACCUGAAGAACCACAUAAAUCAUCUCGAAAACGUAAAUAUUUCACAAGAUCAUCAUCUAAGAAAUCACCUAAACCAAAACCAACAGCGAAAAAGAGGAAGAAGGAUAGUGAGCCAAAUGUUGAAUUUCUAAAGAAGAAGAAGAAGGAUACUUCAUUCUUCAGAUGUUCCAUGGAACCUCUUAGAAGUUUAGCUGCAACGAUAAAGAGCAAGAUGAGUGUUGAACAUCUGCAGUUUUUAGAGGACACAAAAUUUGGAAGUCUGUACAAUCUCAUGCAUCUUGGUAUGAUUGAACCAUGCAAGCCAAAGAAUGAAUCAUUUAGAACAGCGAUCUUCUGCAUUCUCAAUUGCUACUCACCUGAAGACUGUGGUUUUAGGAUUGGGAAUAAGAUGAUGAAGUUUAGAGUUGAAGAUGUGGCAGUUCUGUUUGGUUUGAUGGGUUGUGGAGAGGUUAUUGAAAAAAAAGCAUGCAGUACUGACAAACAUCGUAAAAUCGCUUUCAUUAGUAACAACUUUACUGAGGAUAUCGACGAUGUUACAAAGGAUAAGGUGAUGAACAAGAUUCUAACACUAGUGGAUGAAGAUAGACACAAGAAGGAAGACCUUGGAUUCCUCAUCAUCAUCUACAUGUUCAUCACCGUAUUUUUCUCAAAUUCAGCGAGCAGGGCUUUGUGGAAUCACUUGAAGCAUCUUGACAGCUUGAAGGGGAUGAAUUCUGUUAACUGGGCAGAGGCUGUUCAUUUCUUCCUUGUAAACAAGUUGAAUGAAAAUCAUCAGAGGAAAAACUUGCCAAUAGGACACAAGAAGCGGCAGGAAGAAACUAUUAGUUAUAAAUAGUUCAUUAAUAUGUUAAUCAACUGUACUAUUAGUUGAUUAACUUAUUAAUCAACUCGACUAUUUAUUAAUCAACUCCACUAUUAGUUAUAAAUAGUUGGUUAAUAUGUUAAUCAACUUUACAAGUAGUUGAUUAACAUAUUAAUCAACCCCUCUAAUAUAAGUUGAUGAAUAUUAAUCAACUUAUAAAUAGGUGAUUAAUAUAUUAAUCAACUCCAAUAUUACUUGAUAGCUGUAUUAAUCAACAAACACUAGUAUUUGAUAACUGUAUUACAUGUUUUCUGUUUUAGUUAUAUAUUGUUGAUUACUUUCUCUUCUAUUCUGUUCAGUUGAUUAGUAUGUUAAUCAACUCCACUAUUAGUUGAUUAACAUAUCAAUCAAUUUUUCUGCUAUAGUAUACUGUUCUUCAUUAUUUUCUCUUAUGUUUUGUUUAGUUGAUUAACAUAUUAAUCAACUCCACUAUUUGUUAAUCAAAAGAAACUAUUAGUUAUAAAUAGUUCAUUAAUAUGUUAAUCAACUGUACUAUUAGUUGAUUAACUUAUUAAUCAACUCGACUAUUUGUUAAUCAACUCCACUAUUAGUUAUAAAUAGUUGAUUAAUAUGUUAAUCAACUUUACAAGUAGUUGAUUAAUAUAUUAAUCAACCCCUCUAAUAUAAGUUGAUGAAUAUUAAUCAACUUAUAAAUAGGUGAUUAUUAUAUUAAUCAACUCCAAUAUUACUUGAUAGCUGUAUUAAUCAACAAGCACUAGUAUUUGAUAACUGUAUUACAUGUUUUGAUUUACUUACAGGUGAUCAAAGAGCUUUCUGAAUUAAGUGAUGAAGAGAAAAAAUUGAUAAAACCAAGUACGAAUGACGUCGAAGAAGAAACUGAUGAUUUAGCUAAUGAAGUCGAAGAAGAAACUGAUGAUUUAGCUACUGAUAAUCGACGGCUAAGAGAAGAGAAUGAAGAACUGAAAAGUGUGAUUCAGCAGUUACAAACUGAAAUUGAAAAGCUGAAAAAUAAGGAUGAUGACAGUGAAGAUGAUGAGGAGGAGGAAGAAGUUGUUGGACAUGAUGUUGGACAUGAUGCUGAUGAUGAAGAUGAGGAAGAUGAUGGGGUUCAAAAGCAUGAAACAAAAAAGAUGGAAGUGAAGAUGAUGACAGUGAAGAUGAUGAUGAUGAUGGACAUGAUGAUUACCAUGUUGAAAAGGUUGGAGAAAAAAAUGAAGAAAGAAAACAUGAAAGUGAAAAUGUUGAGGAAGAUGAUGAUGGAACUGAUAAUGAGGAGGUUCAAAAGGUUGAAGAAAAUAAUGAGGAGACAAAAACUAAUGAUGAGGAUAAAAAUGAUGGAGAAAAGAUUGAGGAGCAAGUUGAUUGGGAUAAUGUUGAUAGGGAUAAUGAGGAUAGCCUUGAUAUGGAUAGUAUUUUCAAGCUGCACAUAAUGCAACCACAUGAACUUGGUGAGGAGGAACCAACAUUGGGGAAAAGGAAGGUCCGUCCAAGUUCAAUGGUAAAACGAGUCAAGGAGAGGACUGAACAAAAAAAGAAGGAAAAUGAGGUUAUAAUAACAGAAGAUGAAAUGGACCUAGGAAAUGAAGAGGAAAUAAAGGUUCCUCUAGCUGAUUGGAAAACAACCAAAUACUAUCAAAUGUUACCAAGAGAAGAACAAGAGGUGCUAGAUAAAUAUGUGAAUGAUGUCAAGGAUGGAAGGUAAUGUUGUAAUUUCUUUAUUAAAAAACUAUAGAUUAGUAGAUUAAUCAUUAUUAUUAUUAAUGUUCUAAUUAUCUUAAUAACUGCAGCACUAUGACAUGGCAGUCACUAAACCAGGAAAUUAUCGUAACAGCUUCCCAGAUCAAUGAUCUUAUGACUGGGAAAUACAUCGAUUACCAGGUAAGUUUCUCUUGACUUUAUAUUUGAUAAAUUUCCAUUACAUUCAGUAAAGCUUACAAGACAUAUCGAAUCAUUUCUUUUUUAUUAUCUAUAUGUAAAAGAUCAUUGAUUGGUAUGGACGAAAGGUUCUAAAUCAAUAUGAGAGCUUCAGAGAAAUUGAGCCAUUUCAAAGAGGAGUUGCCAUCUUCUCGGCUUAUGCAUGGGUAAGUAAUUUUCAAACUCAUCCUUUCUGAUGAAGUUGAUGUGUAUAUUAAUCAACUUAUAACAUUUGAAACAGACAUGGUUGCGCGACUUUAAAGGGCAGAAGAGAAGAAAGAAAACAAAUUCAGGUGAGAUUCAAAAUAAGGAAGACAUGUACUGGAAGGAAGUGAUUGAAAAAUUCAAUGGAAAGGAGAAACUCUUUUUGUUUCCAUUAAACACUUCAAGAACUGCUAGAGACAAGGCUGGGUAUCAUUGGAGUCUUCUUGUGCUCGAGAAAGGUUUUGGAUGGACUCUUUAUAACUCUCUUGCUGGAAACAAAGCUUUCAACAAGUGUAUUCUGAGCAAUUGUAAAGCCAUUGUGAGUUAACUUUCUUAAACUAUUGUAGUUUUGUAACAAUUUUAUAAUGAUUUAGAAUUUUACCGAAGUUUAAACAUUUGAAACAUGCCAAAUAUGUCACUCCUUUGCUGGACAAAAAACUAAUCAAACCUGGAGAUGUUUGUUACAAAGAUGGUCCUAUAAAUGAAGCACCUGAUUUACCGCAUCAAGGCUCUUCGUAAGCUUUAGAAUUUUGAAUUGUUAUUCCUUAUUACGAUGAAUGCAAUUUGAUUUAUGCAUUAAUUAAAUAUUUCAGGGUGGACUGCGCAUUGUUUGUUAUCAAAUUCAUGGAGCACGCAAUUCCUGAAUGUGAAAUAUUUCGUCAGACUAUGGAGUGGAAACAAUAGACUUGAUGAGGGAUACAAUAGCAUAUGAACUACUGACUGAACCGGGACUAAGUAUUAACAAGGAAGUAUGGGAUGAACAACAAUUUCUAGUUUCCCUUGAUGCGGCUGAAAAAAAGAUACUUGAAGAGAAAGAAAAGGAAAAGGCAGCAGUUCAAACAAUUAUAAAUUUAGGUGUUCAAAAGUCAGAAUAGUUGAAAAUGAAUUACCCCGAAUUCGAGGUCCUGACUUUUUGUGUUUUGAAACUGUCAAUAGUACGUAUAUGUUAUGAAUACGAACAAGUUUUAUAUAUUUCUGUUAUUUUGUAACAACUGAAUUCUCAUGGUUAUAUCAAUGGAAAUGUUAUUUUGCUUAUUUUCUAGUGUUUAAAAUGGUUGUUAAUUUAAUUUAAAUUUUAAUAGGAUGGAAUUGUUAUUUGCCUAUUUUUUAGUGUUUAAAACAUAGUUUGAUUAACAUAUUAAUCAACAUAACCAUAGUUGGAAUGGUGAACCCUAGUGGAAUGCUGUCAUAAGUACCCCUUAAUGCUGUCAUUCUAAAACCCUAGUUGGAAUGGUGAACCCUAGUGGAAUGCUGUCAUAAGUACCACUUCAUGUUGUCAUUCUAAACCCUAAUUGGAAUGGUGAACCCUAGUGGUAUGCUGUCAUAAGUACCCCUUAAUGCUGUCAUUCAUUAACUUCUGAAAACAAUUUUCCCGAUUACAAUAAAGUUGAUUAAUUGAUUAAUCAACAGUUCAGUAAACUUUCAUAAAAACAACUAAGUUGAUUAAUACAUUAAUCAACCGUUCAGUUAACUUGCAUAAAAAAACUAAGUUGAUUAAUACAUUAAUCAACAGUUCAGUAAACUUUCAUAAAAACAACUAAGUUGAUUAAUACAUUAAUCAACCGUUCAGUUAACUUGCAUAAAAAAAACUAAGUUGAUUAAUACAUUAAUCAACAGUUCAGUAAACUUUCAUAAAAACAACUAAGUUGAUUAAUACACUAAUCAACCGUUCAGUUAACAUGCAUAAAAAAAACUAAGUUAAUUAAUACAUUAAUCAACAUUCCUUAGUUGAUUAACUUAUUAAUCAACUUCAUGAAAAAAAUCAAUCAUUAAUGGAUCAGAAAACUUUCUCAAAACUAAAACAAUGAAUUAUAUUGUAGGAACUGAAUUGUAAUGUCAUAACAAGUGAGGAAAAAAAACAAUCUAAACUUUGAUGAAAAACAAAUCAUCAAAUACAACUAAAACCUUACUGUUGUUCAGAUAUGGGCAAGUCCUCCUAUUGUGACGACCAGUAUUAAGACAACUGAAACACUUCUGAGCUUUGGGAUGCUUUCUUAAACCGGUGUUUGGAAUCCUUUUCGUCUUUGGCCUCCCAGGACCUCUUUUAACAUCUGGAGGAAGUAUACGCACAGAAUCAACAUCAUCUUCUGGUUUGUCCUCAUCCGAAAUCGGCUGAAUUGCAUGCGAGUAUGUAUUUCGGAAUGUGCUAACAUAGUAAUAAGGUUGAAUAUAAUCGUAUAUUCUUUCUCGAUCACCUUUUGCAACUAUAGCAGCCACAACAUGCUUACAAGGGAAUCCAUCUAUUCUCCACUUUCGACAAGAACAUAUCAUAUCCCGAAGAUGAACUGAAUGUUGUUUAUGCGCCAACACUUCAUAAACAAACUCGCUUGACUUUAUCACUUUUAAAGGACGUGCUUCCUGAAUCCUUAAUUCUAAAAGUUCUUCCAUUUUAGGACAUAACACAGAAUUCCGCUUCAAAGAAUCAUCACGCCUAUCCGACAUCAUUUUCAUCACUCGUUGCCUAAUUCUAUCCAACAUAGUACAAAUAGGCAUGGACCUCUCUUGGAUUAUCCAAUUGUUGAAACUCUCAGCAAUGUUCGAACAUAAUUCACUGUAACGUUCACCAAGGAAGUAGGCAUUCGCAAAUUGCUGAGUAGGCAAUGUUUCCAAGAAUUUGAAAGCCUUACUACCCCCAGAAUUCAAUAAAACUUUCAAAUGUUCAAUAUAUUUCAAAUGAGUCUUUGCAUAGGCACAUUUGCCGAAAAUAUCCUUAAGACUAUCAGCACAUCUUCCAACAACAGAAGCAAGAUUAUUUUUGAGAUGCCACAAGCAAAAACUGUGAUAACAAUUGGGGAAAACCAAUGGAACAUUCUUCACAAGGGAGUGAUGGCGAUCAGAGAUAAAGGUUAUAGGCCUAUCCGUAGACACGACAACUUUCAAAUUCUCCAAAAACCAAAACCAGUUGGAAUCAUUCUCCACAUCAACAAUAGCAAUAGCUACUGUAAACAUACCUAAAAGACAGCAAGAACAUUGAUUAACACAUUAAUCAUCCAAACAUGGUGAAAUUAACCCUAUAAAGCAUAUCAAAUUGAUUAAUAAAGAAAUAAACUACUUACUAUACACUUUCAGGAAAAAAAAUUAUACCUUGAUCACCAUUCUUUGCUGUCGCUGACAAAAGACAACCUUUAUACUUGGACUUCAUAAAAGUUCCACCUAGGCAAAGUAUAGGCCUACAAAACUUAAACCCAUGGAUGCAUGCUUCAAACGCCACAAAAAAACGACUAAAUUUUUUCGUCGCUCUUUCAACUUCUAAAACCACACGGCUACCAGGGUUACUUUUCAUAAUUUCAUCACCAUACCAGAUUAACUGAUUGUACAACAAACCAGCAUCUCCAUAAAUUUGUUUAAUCACCAACAGUCUAGCACUAUAAGUAAAAUAAUAUUUUAACUCAAGUCCAUAAUCACUUUUAAAUCUAUUCAUAAUGUCCUUUGGUGAAGUCGUAAUUUUAUCACUCACCAUACUAAGUAUUAAACUCAUCACCAGCUGACUUGACACAUUGGGAUUCUCAUAAUCUUUACAAGCAUUGCCACAAGUAUGUUUUUCCCCCAUCUCCUUCAACCACAUACGUCCACCAUCUGUACUAAAGGACUUUGCAUAGAUCAUCCACUUACAUUUAUCUUUUUCAUCAACACAUUUACCUUCUUCCAUAGCCUGUUUACAAACAGCUUUGACUCUAGUCUUGGAAUUCUUCAAAAACCCAUAUUUGAGCCCAAUUUCAAUAGAAAACUGUCGAAGCUUGUUUCGGACCUCAAUAGCUCCUCCUUCAAAUACCUGACCAACACCAGUAAAGACAAACUCCCAAUCCCUAGUCUUUAAACCUAGCAAAGAAAUUUCAUCAUCAUAAUCAAUGCAAGAAGAACUACUACUUGGUCCGACAUCACAAUGAACAAUGUCAAUAGACAUCUUCUUCAAACAAACUAAAAGUUCAACAACUCUCUGUCCAUUCUUAUUGCAAAACCACACCAAAGAUUGACGCUCAGCAUCACCAAAAAUUUCAUGAUGUUUACCAUAACGAUCGUAGGUGAGAAGAAACACUAAAGGAGACAAAUCCUUAAAAUUUUGGCAAAUAGCAUCCUUUAAACUAGCCAAUGUACUAUCACACGUGAGCUCAUAGGGGAAAGUUUUUUUGUUAUACUUGAUUACCCCAAGAACAACACCAUUAGCAACCUCAGUUGAAACAACACUAUCACAUAAUUGCACAUCUGUAUAAAAAAAGUAUCAUGUACAGUUGAUCAAUACAUUAAUCAACAAAUUGCUGUAAUAUAAAAAAUUUGUAUUUUAUCGCGACAUUAAUCAACACAUUAACAUAGUACUCAAUAUUAAUCAACCUAAAUACUCAAAACAGAAAAGAAACAACAAACAAAACUGUUGAACGAUGACUCGUUCAACAUAAAAAAACACUAAGAAAUCAAACACAAAAACAAGAAUUGCUAAAUUAUUAAUCAAAACAGGAAUUAAGAACUCAACAAACUAAACUGUACAAUCGUUAAUCAUAACCAUCUCGAAAUCCAGUUGAGAAAUUAAUCCAAAAAAUCAGUUGAUAACACACAAAAAACUGAUCUCAAAUCGAAUUUCAAACUAAAAACACGAAUUCAAACUUCAAGAUCUGCCAUUAAAAGCUUCAAUUACACUGAAAACUGAACUCUCACGAAUGAAACGAAUUGUGAAAUUGAAUUGAAUUGAACUGAGAAGAUCUUGCCGAAUUGAAUUGUGAAAUCAAAAACCUAAAAGGAAAGCGAAUGAAGGUUUCACGAAAUCUGAACUCUUUCUAAUGAAACGAAACCGCAAAUGAAACGAAACCGCUUUCCAAAAUCUCAAAACACGAUCUAUAUAUAUGGUUAAUAUAAGGGUAGUUCAGGUAUUAUGAAAGAGAGAAGAACGCAAUUAUACGCGACUUUGUCCUGGAAACAAAAUUACAUUCCGUACAAUUGGACUUUUAGUAAACCAAAACAAAACCGGUGUCCUUGGGCCAACAAAACCAAGACUACGGACCAGAGCCCAAACAAACGUUCCUAUUUGGACUCUGGACUAGUUUUUUGUUAAAUUUAUAGGGGUUUUUAGUUUUUGGCCCAUCUAAAUAAUACGUAUUUAAGAUGUAGGACGCUUUUAAUCCAUAUUUAGAGUAUGGGACACCCUCCGUCAGUUGACUGCGUUGACCAUAAACGAAUGCGUUAGAUUUUUCAGAAACCCAUUUCUACCCCUGCACGUGCUGAGCACGAGAUAUAAAACAACAUUAAAAAUAUUUGAGGUUUUUAGUUUUUGGUCCACCUAAAUAAUAUGUAUUUAGGAUGUAAGACACUUUUAAUCCAUAUUUAGAGUAGGGGACGCCCUCUGUCAGUUGACUGCGUUGACCUGUUGGAUUUUUUCAGAAACUCAUAUUUAUCACCAUUAAACUAUACAGAACAUAAAGGAUAUUAUUUGAAUUGAAAUCUUCAAAUCCUCAGAACAUCUUGAAUCCCUUACCCUUGAGCUUUUGCCCAACGUGAGAAUUGAUAGAAUUACACCGUCUCAUUCGUGGUAUGGGAUGCUAGAAGCAGAUAAUUACGUGGUUGUACCAUCCAUGCAAAUCUCAUGAACAACGCCGAAUAAACACACAAUACUACAACAUAAGGUCAAAAGUGAAAAUUAAAAUAACAUAACUAAUUAAGUAUUCACAGGUUUCAAAGUCAUAGAAAUGAUUACCUCCAGUCGUAUUGGCAGAUAUGAGUUCUGGGGGUUUCUGCGCGUCGACUAAUCCCUGUUAAAGCCACCGAUUAAACAAAAUUAUUAUUGAGCCAACACAAAAUGAUAAAGAAUAAUAUUACUAAGCCUCCAAGAAAUCAUCUUACAGUAAGAAAAAUCUUAUGCUAAUAACAAAUUAUGCUUGUUAUACAAACUCAAAAGGAGUUUUUAGUUUUUGGUCCACCUAAAUAAUACGUUAUGGUCAACGCAGUCAACUGACGGAGGGUGUCCCAUACUCUAAAUAUGGAUUAAAAACGUCUUACAUCCUAAAUAUGUAUUAUUUAGGUGGGCCAAAAACUAAAAACCCUUUAUAUUUUUAAUGUUGUUUUAUAUCUCGUGCUCAGCACGUGCAAAGGUAGAAAUGGGUUUCUGAAAAAUUUAACGCAUUCGUUUAUGGUCAACGCAGUCAACUGACGGAGGGCGUCCCAUACUCUAAAUAUGGAUUAAAAACGUCCUACAUCUUAAAUAUGUAUUAUUUAGGUGGGCCAAAAACUAAAAACCCCAAAUUUAUAUGGUAUUACAGGGAAUUUGUUUACUUGCAUCCCCUGGUUGCAAACAUUAUGCAACUCAAAGAAAAGUUCGAUGUCCAUGUGUAGAUUGAUAGUAUGCUUAAAGUUACCUCUGAAUAGAGGUGAGAGCCAAAGGUCAUGAGCUGGGAGGCGAUGGUUAUGCUUUAAGAUUUUCCAUAAAUAGAAGUUUCUCUUCUAAUCAUUCUGACGACAACCACAUAUAUCCUAAAUAUCAUACGAUAUUCAAUAUAGAAAGAUAAAUUGUCGACAAACAUUGGAGUAAAGAGCUUUCAAUCAUUCACAAUGUGCUCGAAGUUAAAUCUGGAUUGAAUUCGGAGCCAAUGAUUAUGUGCCAUGAGUUCCAGUGAGAUAAUGAAGCUUAAACACCCUCAAGUGGAAUUGCACACCAUUAUUGUUUUUUUUUUUUUUUAUUAAACAAAGUAUCCUAUGUAUCUAUGUAUGUAUAUGUAUACUAAAGAGAGCUCAUGUCUGACUAUUGAACUUGUGGUUAGAAUAUAGCAACUACACACAUCCAAAACAUCAUUUUUGGCUAGAUUGUGCACACAUUGGGCUCCUAGUGGUUGUGCAUUUGGAGGAGUAUUCUCCAUGUGAAUAUGUUCAAUCACGUCUCCAUAUGCUUGAAGUUACAUCUGGAUAGAGCUGGGAGCCAAUGGCCAUGAGUUGGGAGCUGAUGGUUAUGCUUUAGGUUCCUAUAAAGUAGAAUUAAACCCUUAAGUGGAAUUGCAAGGCAAUAUUUUUUUUUUUUUAUUACUCUAUGUGUACUAAAGAACACCUGUGUAACUACUGAAAUUAUGGUUAGAAUAUAGCAACUACACACAUCCAAAACAUUAUUUAUGAUUGUUCAUAAAUUGUACGGAGUGAAUUAAUAUGUAUUUUAUAUCUAUUGUAUUGGCCCAACCUAUCCCAAUAGGUGUGUCUUUCGCUAAUCGACACAUACUUUGUAAACACCCUUUCCAGACGGAUGUGUUUAGGGUUUAGGGUUUAGGGUCUAUCCGAAUAGAUAUGUACUUUGUAUUGGGGCAUAGGGUCUAUUCAAAUAGAUAUUGUGCAUUUUUUAAAAAGGUGUCUAUCCUACUGUAUAAGUGUGUCUUGUGUUGAUUUUUUUUCAGUCGAUUAGUAUUUUUGUUUUCAAGUGUUUAUGUUCUGUCAUUAAAGUGUGUCUUUAUGUAGACUAAGGUUGCCUACUGAACUUGUGGUUGGCAUAAAGCUUGAUUUUUGCUUGUUUCUUAUUGAGUUAAGGUUAGUGCUAAAUUCUGUUUUGAUUGACUAUGCAUAGAUGAUGCUUAAUUUCUGAAGCUCUUACUAAAGUUUGUAAGCAACGGGAAUUUUUAAAGUUCCAUUUUUAUAUUGUCAUCUCAAAUAUGGUUCUGAUAAAUUGAUUAGCAAGGUUAGAUUCUGUUUUUUUUUUUUUUUCAUUUCAUCAUUGAAGAGUGAAAGUCUGCAAGUUGUAUAACGAAACAGCCACACUUUCGUAGGAUGCGGUUUCUAAUGACAGAAGUUAGCGCCCAAUUUUUCUCUGAAGAAAUUGAUCUCAAACAUUUUUUUUUUUUUUGAUAAGUUUUUGCUUUAUUAAAAAUCAUAAACGGUUACAAUAAAGUUUUUGAACAUUAGCAAGAAGCUAUAGCCCCCCCAAAAAAAAACCAACAAACAUUACCCCAGUACGCAACUCGUUAACCCGACACGAACCAGACCUGAGAUAAACAGGUUUGGGUUUAGUCUUAUCGGGUUUUCGGGUCAUUUUGACCCGAACCUGUUAGACCCGUUUAUAAACGGUCAGGUUCGGGUUUGACCACUAACAGGUCGGGUCAACCCGAAACCCGUUUAAAAUUAAUAUUUUUUAUUUCUAGUUUUUGAAAUCACCUCUCUUUUUCAUCUCUUCUCAACAAUCGUUUUCUUUCUUCUUCUUUAACUAAGGAGAAAUAUAUAGUAGUAAUGAAUUGAUUAUAAAAACUUGUUUGUUGGUGGUUCUUAUUUUCCUAUAUCGAAGUUAGAGAUUGUGUAAAUAUUUUUCUUGUUUUUCAAUUGAUUUAUUUUGGGUUUAAGGAACAUGAUGUUUUAAUUAAUCAAUUAAAAUCAGAUUAGUGUUUUUUUAUUUUUAGAACUCAAGUUGAUGUUUUGAUCAUGUUUAUAAUUGGUUUUAAUGUUAACGUUGAUUGUUUUACCGUGCCCUUGUUUUUCAAUAUUUUUUUUUUUUUGAAUUUUGUCUUUUACUAAUAGUUUUAAUUUUUGAUGAAAUUAAGAUUUAUAUUAAAUAUCGAUUAUCAUGAAUAUCAAUUAUAAAUAACAGUAGUAGAGAUAGAAAGAAAUAAUUAAUAAAUCUGAAGCGGGUUUAAACAGGUCAACCCGAACUCGACCUGUUUAAUUAGCGGGUCAGGUUCGGGUUUAGGAAAAAAACUAAAUAGGUUAACAGAUCAGAUUUAGGAAAAAAACACAUCAAGCCGUUAAGACCCGACACGAACCUGACACGACCCGACCCGAUUGCCACCCCUAGUCCCAUUACACCCCCAUCCCCUGUAAGAUCCAUUGCCACUUGUUGGUCCAUUCCCCAAAUUUUCAAAUUAAAGCUGACUUUAUAGUACAACAGGAGCAGACCCAUGUGACUUCACAAGACCUUAAGCCACGUCAUCAUCUUCUUCUCCAAACACAGCAAACUCCGGUGCGACUUCCGGCAGAGACCCCUUCUCCAUUGCUUCCAGUCCUUCCUUUUUUCACCUUAAAGAAAAGCUCCAAAGUCCCCCCUGCUUGUAAGAUGGAAGCUCAGACCAACUUAGAUCGUUGAAAACCAACAACACCCUGCUCACCGACGCCUACACCACCCGAAAACCGGCUUAAUUUCAACCCAAAAAUCUAUUCCCCCUUUAACAUCCACCCCCAUCUACACCAUCACUACCAACUAGGUUGUGUGCAGCCCCACUACCAUGACUGAAACCGGCACUCGGUUGUUUACAUUUAUUUUGUGACAUUGGAUGUCCAUGGUUAUCUCGCCUUGAGUUCAUUGUUAAGAAAACCUCGUUGUAUUCGCGUCAUCCCGAGUCUUUGUCUUCGCGUCUAGUGUAUCAAAAGUGUGUUUUUGGUUUAGGACGUACGUACGUCCCACAGGUCAGCAAACUUUCAAUCGUGUUGAACGUACGUACCGAGUUAGGGCGUACGUAUGUUAGGUUAGGCAGCAGGAAAGUUUUUGUUCAGGACGUACGUAUCUAGUUAGAGCGUUCGUACGUCCAAGCAGUCAGCAAAUGUUUGUCGUAUGGGGACGUACGAACGGUGUUUCGACGUACGUACGUCCAAUAUGGAUUUUGUUAAAUUCCGGCCCAUUUCUUGUGUACUCCAACCCUAAGUAUAAAUAGGGUUUCUCUUCCAAAGAAUGAGUUAGUUCUUUGGCCGUCUAUUCCUUGGAGUUUUGUUUAGGUUUUGUGUUGAAAUUGUUUUGGUUAAUGAACUCAAUUCUCUUUCUUCCUAAUUCAUCAAUUCCUUAUCUUCCGUAUACAGUUGUGAAUUCGGCUUCGAGUCUUCUUGUGUGUUCAUCAAGGAGUCGAGUGUCUUGUGCGUACAUCAAGGUGCUCUGGUGAAGUCAAGGUGUUAGAGAUAACUUGAAGUAUCAGCUCGCAGUGAGUGCAGGUAGUUGAUAGGUUUGUAAAUCUCUUUCGUCUAGUGGAUUAUUUGUUGUCACCAAAGGCAACCGUGGACGUUUCCCAAAUUGGGUUUUACCACGUUAAAAAUUCCUGCGUGUUAUUUACUUUCUGCUUAUCGUUUGAUUUGUUUUGAAUAUUAAACUGUGAGAUUAGCACUAUCUGUGUUUUUCAAUGACAACCCCAAUGAAUCCCUUGAAGAGAUCUCGAUAUCAUCUCCUUUGGUUCCCCAUAAAAUUCCUUUAACUCCCUUCCUAAACCCAGCACAUCUCUCACAAAUUGUAGAUCCCUAUUAUAAGAACAAAGACGAAUGAGAUCCACAGCCAGUCAACGGCGCCGGACUGGCCGUGGUCAACGGUGGUUUUCUCUCUGGUUCUCUCUGAUAUCAAUGGUUCUCUCUGAUAUCAAUUGAUCUCAAAGAUAUGACUGGCAAUGUUUUUAAAAUUCAGCAAUGACCGAUACUGAAUUGUAGAAUUGUGAACGGUGAAUUCCAUGGAAUUGUAGCAAUGAGGAUAUUGAAAUGUUCUAGGGGAACGGUGAGUUCCCUGAAUUGUAGUUGUCUGUGCACCACUAAUUUCCCGAAUAACGUUCCCAUUGUCCUAUCAAUAUAAUGCAAGAUUAAUGGAGUUACUGCAGCUGCAGUUAUAGUGAUGGGUUUUAUCACAGUACAUAGUUCUUAUAUGUUUGAAAUCCUGAAAUUUAGGACAGCCUCUGCAGUCUGCCCUUAAGGAAAAUUGAGUGUGGUUUGGAAGGCAUUUUCUUGUAUGAAUGAAGAAAAAAAUCCCCCUUGUUUUCUUGUUAGUUAUGUAAAAAAAAUACCAUACAUCUUUUUCUGCAAAACAUUGUCAAGGUCAACAGAAAAAAAAAUUUCUAACAAGUUCUAGCAGAUGCCAACUGAGCCCAGCUGGUAACAUAGGUGAAAAUAUCGAAUAAUCUCAAAUAUCCGAUUCGUGAAAAAUCGGAUUAUUUCACGAAUAUCCCAAAGCCAGUUUCGAAAUUGGGAGGUUUGGCAAAUAUGCUUCUCACAAAAUAUUGCCUGAAUAUUCGCGAAUAUUCCAAAAAAUUCGGCAGAAUUGGGAGGUUUUCUACUAAUAUCAUGUUUUUCUUCUUCUUUCAAUGUAUAAACUUAUAAUUCAACAAUAGAAUAUAUAAACACACCCCGUUUUUAUUAUAUGGCCAUUAUCAUCUGAAGAAAGACAUGCGUUUUAAUUUAAACACACCCCUUUUUAUUAUAUGGGUUAUGCAUUUAUAUAUGAAUUUGGUAUUGAAAUUCGAAAUUGCAAGAAUAGAGAAAACUAAAUAAAAUUAUAAAACACUAUAAGAAUCAUUGAAAUUUGGAGACAAAGAGCACGUUCGGCAACUCAAAAUUUUUUAGAAGGAAUUUCCUUAUAAGUUGUUGUCUGGAAUAAGAAAGUACAAAGGAGAAAGCUUAAAACAGAAACUUACCAUAAAAUGCCUUUCUUAACUUUUUAAGAAUUACUUUUUAAUUUAAUUUGUGUAAUCACCGAACAAGCUUCUUGCUUUCCGUCUUUUGGAAAGUUACGGAAUGCAUUUUCACCCGUAUAUAUAUAUGCCGUCUUUAAUUUGAUUUUGUCUGUGCAAGCAUGCUGAUAUCCAGGAUAUUAGAGAGAUACAUCUUCUCACCAUAAGCAUUAUUUGAAGGAUAUGUUUUAUUUUUGAAAUUCUUGAAUGUCUACAGUGGUUGAAACUUCAAUAUCCGAAUAACUUAGUUUAUAUUGUAGAUAAAUAUAAAGAAUUGUAAUUCGAAAGUCAUAUUACAGUCACUAUUAGUAAGCUUAAGGCUUAAGUCAGAAAUGUAGAUAAUAUUUCAGAACAAAUCUAUUCCAUUCCAGAAUGGGAUUAUCAUGUAACGCAGAAUCAGAUAUCAUCAAGUGAAGCUUUCAUCCAAAAAAAACAAAAAAAACAAGUGAAGCAUUUUCCAAGCACACCAAUGAAAUGAUUUGCCACACACAUCAUAAAAGUUUUAUUAGAUGGUAAAUUAUUCAUGCAAAAUUGCAUUCUCAUGAAUUCCUUUUAAACGAGUAUGGAACUGGACAUGAAUAUAUAUAAUGUUUACCAGCCGAAGAUCAUCUUGUAUAAUAUUGGUUUAUAUGUUUGUUAGUGGAUUAUUGAAAUAAAAUACUGAAAUUUAUUUAUUUUGAGAUAUUGGGUAGUAAACAAAAUAUAUUUGUUCAUGAGACUACUAGCUUCAUUGAAAUAUGCAUACUCUAGUUACAAACCUUUUUCUUUAUGCAUACUCUAGUUACAAACAAUGUGAUAGAAAGCUUUGGAAGAAUUGGUACCACAUACAUAUAGACCUGUCAGCUAUCCGAACCGAUCCGUAUCCAAAACCGAUCCAAACCAAAAUUUUUGGUUUUUGAUAUCCAAUUGAUCGUUUGGAUCAUUGAGAAUGGUUUUCGGAUAUCCAUUCCAUUUUCGGGUUGGUUUGGAUAAUUAUCCAAAAAAUCCGAUCCGAUCCAAAUUUUUUUUAAAAUCAAUACGAAACAGAAGAAAAUAAAAAUACCCAAUCUUUCCUGUUCUUCUCGUUUUGGGAGCAACAACAAUGGACCAAACCAAUUCUAAUUCUUUUCUUUUGUAAGUAUGUGAAAAGACAAUAGAUUGUCAUGUCUUGCAAACAACACCAAAUCUCAUCUAUAUCAGUUAAUCGUCUAGCAAUAAUGUCAUCAGUAAUUCCUUCUGGAAGAUCCAACCAAUUGACCUCCAUGUUAAUUAUUCAAUUCACGUACACCAUUCAAAUCAAAAGAUGUUACCCUUUAGUCAAAAACUCAAAAUAGCAUUUGUUUUGUCAUAUUGCUCUGUUUCCCCUGUUUUCGCUACUAAUUACAGAUGACUGACCAGUAUAGAAGAGUUAAGGUAAAAUUGAUAAAAAAUACAACGUACUUUACCACUUUUUUCCAUUAAUACAAUGUACAAAAAAACUGACCAAACAAUGCUUGUACUUUCGUUUUGUUUCUACGUUAUACAAUCUGUUAAAAUGAGCUAACAGACUGCUUAUCUGUACAACAUUUUCUGACGUGGUUUUAUCUAAUUAAGUUAAUUUGCUGAGGUGUAAAAAAAUAACAAAAGUUUUAAUAAUCACGUGUAUCUAUAAGUAAUUGAUGAAUUAAAAUCUUAGUAGAAUCUAAAACUUGAAUUAAGUUUUCUGUAUUUAACUUAUUCUUCAAAAAUCGAAUCUUUACUUCAAAAUCACUACUAUUGAGUGAGUUUUGAUCAGUUUCUGAAGAAUUUGAGAUUUAGGUAGCACAUGAAAUUAAAGAAAAUGAUGAAAUAAAAGUUACCCAUUUUGGAAUUUGCUUAGAAACUAUCAAAGAUGAAAUCUUUAUUACCAUUAAUGUAAAACAAAAGAAAGAAGAAUGAUGAAAUCUUCUUCAAUCUACUUCACCUUCCUUAAACCCUCUCAAAAUUCAUCUCUGACCCUUUUCAAAAUCCUUGAAGAAUAACCAAUAGAACAAAGUCUCCAAGGUUCAGCAACACAAGCACGACCAAUAGAUGGAUCAAUAUCUUCUUCAUCUUCUUCAACACGACUAACUCCAUUAACAAGUACAGCUUUAGCUUUAAGAGAAACAACACAACGUGAAUCACUAUUAUAAAAACGAAGACGUAAUACAACAAGUUUUGAUGAGAGUUCUUUGGCAGUUCCGUCGAAGAAGAUGUUUUCUUGAAGAUGAGUUUUUAUAUGGAAUGGAGAAAGAAGAUCUGAAAGCUUUUGGUGUGUAGCAAAGUCAGGAAGACGAAGUUUAACUUCAACUUCCAUUCCUUCUUUCCAGUCAUAAACACCUCAUAACAAGUACCAAAAUCAAAUUGAGUUUCAUCUAAUUCCAAUGUCAAUCCUUUCCAAUCAUAAACACCUCUAACAUUUCUAAAUCCACCUAAACAAACAAACCCUCGUCCUCCUUCUCCUGUUCAAUAACAAAAGUUCAUGCCCAUGUUUUGAAAUUUUGGUUUGGGGAAGAUAGGUUUAUCCAGAACAAUUUGAUUAAUAUGUAUGUGAUUAUUUGUGGAUGGCUAAGAUCGAAACAUGUGGAAAUAAGAUCUGAUAACACGUGGAUUAUUAAAACUUUUGUUAUUUUUUUACACCUCAGCAAAUUAACUUAAUUAGAUAAAACCACGUCAGAAAAUGUUGUACAGAUAAGCAGUCUGUUAGCUUCAUUUUAACAGAUUGUAUAACGUAGAAACAAAACGAAAGUACAAGCAUUGUUUGGUCAGUUUUUUUGUACAUUGUAUUAAUUAGAAAAAGUGGUAAAGUACGUUGUAUUUUUUAUCAAUUUUACCAGAAGAGUUAAUGAGUAGUACAUUAUUUCAAUUGAUGGAACACUUAAAGAUGGCUUAGUUGCUGGCUUGCUCCCAUGUAUUUGUAGAACCCAUUGCAUUGACUAAUUAAUUUGUUCCUUUGAUGCACCAAAGAUCAUAUCAUAUCCAACAAACAAAAAUUAUAUUAGAAUGUGCUAGGAAUAAAAUGAGAUCUAUUAUCAGCCAUUAUAUUCACUCCCAAUGCUCUUAUCUCUCAAGAGAAAACGAUUUUUGUGUAUUUUUUGGGUUAUUAUUUGAUUAUGAUUUCACAAGUUUGAUUUGUUGUUGUUUUUUGGAUUUGGGUAUUGUUCAGAUCAUUUGUUUUCACGGUGAUGAAGGUUGCAAAAUUAUAUUUAAAAAAAAAAAAAACCGGAUCGGAUCAGAUUGGAUCGGAUAUCCGUUAAUUUAUAGUGGAUCAGUUCGGAUCGGCUGUACCAAUUAUCCAUUCUGAAUUGGAUCGGAUCAGUUCGGAUCACAAUACAUACGGAUCAGUUCGGAUCAGCGAGAUAUCCAAACCGAACCGAUCCAUUGACAGGCCUACAUACAUAGGUUGAACACAUGUGAAUUGGUUGUAAAGAUACAUGAGCAUUAAGACUAUUUAAUUGUAUGCCAAAUUACAUUUUCAUGAGUUCUGCUGCUUAGGAGUCGGACAUAGAUAUAGGGAGGGGUUCCAGGGACUCAAGAAAUGAUUGACUCAAUUUUGACUCAAUCCUACUUAGGGUACUUGUACAUGUUGGAUUGGCAUGAUUUUUUAUAGGAUGAAUGUUCUCAUUAUGUACGACAUCUUCAUCAAAAUUUAUCAUAAUCUGAAUUUUUGAACCCUAGAAAAAACAUAUUACAAGUUAAUGUAUUGUGGAACGUUCAUUUUUACCGUUGAAUUUAAUAUUAUAUUUGAUGGGUCUAAAUAUAUUCAAAUGAGCUGAUUUUUUAUGUAGUAAAUCUUUAUUGUGAAGAGAUCAUAUCUACCUAAAAAUCAUGUCUCUGUUAUAUGUACAAGUACCCUAAAUAGGAUUGAGUCAAAAUUGAGUUAAACAUUUCCUGAGUCCCUGGAACCCCUCCCUAGAUAUAUAUGGGCAUUCACCAUUCAAUUGUUUCUUUGUUUGUUAAUGAAAAAUAUAUUGAAAAUUUUAUCUCCUUUUAUGAUAAACAAAAAAUGUUGAGAUAUUGAAGUAAACUAAAUAUGUGAUACUAGCUUUUAAAUUCACUCGAUUGCAGCAUUAUUCAUUUGUGUAAUUGUUCCUGGGCAGGGCUAACUGAAUGGUGGAUCUUUGGUGAAGUUAUUAAGUAAAGUCACCUUCUUUGAUCAUUUUUGAAAUGUCGGAUAUCUUGACAGUCUUGACUGUCGGAUUAACUCUGCAGCCUAUUCUGAUUCAAUUGCUUAUACCCUACUAUAUAUACUAUGGCAUGUCCCAUGCUCAAAGAUUUCCAUCUAUCCUAUCUUGAGGGAGUUCAUAACGUCGAUACCAGAGAACAGUAGAAGCAUGAAACGCUUUUUGACGGCUGUUAAAGGUAUUCUGGAAUGGCGUGGGCUAUUGAAAUUUGAAACUUUUGGAUAGGAUUUUACUAUUUUCAUCGAAAUGAAAUUAUUUAGGGGGUUUUCUCUUAAAACAGUUGUAUACUAAUGGUAUAAGUCAAUUCUAUCUUAUGGUCGACUGUACUGAUUUCUUUAUUCUAGCUGUGUUUUGGGAAUGAGACAAACUUGUGAUGAAAACACACUCCAUGGAAUUUAAUAAGCAUCCAACUAUCUAAGUGCUAACUCUAGUUCAUGAUGCAUUAACAGAACACAUGGCGAAGCCCAUAAAUUCCAAGUAGAUUACGAUUUCCAAUUUAAACAUCACCGGCCACAAAAAACCCAAUGCUCCAAGGGCCUCAAAAAUAUUAGUAAACAAUGGACAGAGUUUUAGUGAAUGGUAGGCAGAAUUCAUAGUAGUUUCAUAUCAUUUGGUCGUUACAAGUUUUUUUUUUUUUUGCCAUAGCUGUAGCAGUGGUUAAUUUGGGUCUGCUAUGGACCGUGGGUAAGCUUAACUGAAAAUUGGACAGCAGGCCGAGAUCUAGAGUCCAACAUAAAUUCAGGCCCGAGCGUAAUUACAUUAUAAAAUAAGGACGUGGGUUUAUAUGUUUCUUAAUUUUUUUCUCGUAAUCUGUUAUUGCGACAAUGGUUUUCCCUUAUUAAGCCCUUCAGUACCAGUGCUGCAGUUUGCUGACGAUACACUGUUUCUCGUUGACGCAUCCUUCAGUCAGAUUUUUUGCAUCAAAGCUAUUCUUCUGGUUUUCGAAGCAGUUUCUGGUCUGAAAGGGAAUAUGGAGAAAACAACUGUUACGGCAGUGGGAGAGGUGCCAAUUAUUGAAGAUAUAGCACAACUGUUGAGUUGUAAAGUUGGAAAACAGCCAAACAAAUAUUUAGGUAUGCCUUUGGGAUCAAAAUUCAAGAGCGUACAGGUCUGGGGGACCAAUUAUCGAAACUGUUCAAAAGAGGUUAGGGGUAUGGCAGCGGAAGAACCUGUCAAUUGGAGGUCGAGUGGUACUACUCAAAAGUGUGCUGGCUAGUCUGCCAAUUUAUCAAAUGUCGCUCUUUAUCAUGCCAGCUAAUGUGAUUAAGAGAAUUGAGUGUAAGAUGAAGCAGUUUCUUUGGGGAUCGAGUGACUUAAAGAGGAAGUAUCAUUUAGUGGAAUGGAGUAAAGUGUGCUCACCGAAGGAAGUAGGAGGGUUAGGGGUAAGGGACCUAGGCAUAAUGAACAAGGCCCUCCUUGGAAGUUGGUUGUGGCGGUAUGGUAACGAAAGUGAGGCAUUGUGGAGGAUUAUCAUUGAUACAAAAUAUGAAAGGGGUAUUAACAAUUGGUGGCCGAAGGCAGUAACAAGACCACAUGGUUGCAGUCUCUGGCGAGGAAUAAUGAAGAAUUAUGAAACUUUCAGAAACGAGAUUAUAUGUAGAUUAGGAGAUGGAGAGAGGAUUCAAUUCUGGAUAAACCCAUGGUUAGGUGAAAGAUCGCUGAAGGAGGAGUUUCCGCUGAUUUUUAACAUAUCCAAUGGUAAAUUGGAUGUUGUUAAGGACCUGGGAGUGCCCAAUGGUGAGGUAGUGGAGUGGGAUUUGAAACUGAGGAGAAGGAGAUUCGAUUGGGAGGAGCAGCAGUUGCAAGAACUCUAUAUCAGGUUGGGGAAUGUCAACUUUGAAGAAAGAAAGGACAGUUGGUGCUGGAAAGAGGACAAAAAUGGGAGGUUUUCAGUCAGGUCCUUUUAUUCAAUCAUCUAUGUUGAGGAGAAGUGCAGAGCCACCACGAACUUCUUUUCCCUUGAAACUGGUAUGGCAGAAAAUUUUCCCUCCCAAAAUCUGUAUGUUCUUAUGGUCUUUGAUCCUCAAUCGUACGCUUACAGCGGAUAAUCUCAUUCGAAAGGGAAUGAGUAUUUCCCCAACUUGCUGUUUAUGCAACCUGUGCAAUGAAACAAUUACCCACCUCAUGUUACAUUGCUCAGUGUCUCUGACAAUCUGUAGCGAUUUCACAAGGGUUUGGCCAGGUACAUAUGAGGAAAUUUUUGCGGUUGAUUCAGUGGAAGAGUGGCUCAGUAAAUGGCCAAAAUGCGUGAGUCAAGAGUUUGGAAAACGUGUUUGGGAGUUAACUCCCUUUGCAAUUAUAUGGAUAUUGUGGAAGAAGAAAAACUAUAAGAUUUUUAGAGGAAAAGAGAUACAGAUGGCAAGUCUGAAGAAGGAGGUGAUGGGAAUUAUUUGGCAUUGGCUGGCAUCGUGGCCUGGGAGGAGAAGGCAGGGAUUCGAUCAACUGAUAUGGAAUUGGGAUGAUGUAGUUAGAGGAGUAGUAGGACCUGUUAUUUCCUAGCAUGGGUGUCCCUUCCAUAAGUGGUGCUUUUGUCACUUGUGAUGUUUUUUGUAACAUUUUUGUUACUUCUUAAUAAAAUCUUACUUAUCAAAAAAAAAAAAUAAUGUAAUGUUGAUCUUGUUUAUGUAGAUAUGAUGAUAUUGUUUAUGUAAUAAUGGUAGACAUUUAUUUUGGGAAUGUAUCUGUAGUUACCUACAAACAAUUUUUAAAAAUGAAAUACACAACUAAAAUUGUCGGACCUUAAGGCCCGAUCUAUGAGCCCGGCCCUCAACCCUUUAGAAAAGGGUAAGGGCUUCAGUAUUUUGAUGUCAACCCGGCCCUAUCCCGGCCCUCAUGAAUAGUAAGGGUAGGGAUGAUCCAGCCCUUAAGACUAUAAGGCUUAAGUAUUUAAGGGUCGAGCUAGCCCUAGCCUGGCCAUUUCACAUGCCUAGCCUGACAACUGUGUGAGAAAAAUAAUGACAGAAGGGUAUGAAUAGUAUAGAAAAAGUGAAAAAGUAGAUUCCCAUGCCUGUUUGGGUAUAAUGGCUCAUUUCCGUGCCAGUUUGGGUCAUCGCAUAAUAAUUAAGUUUGUGCUUAUUCAGGAAAGGUAAAAUGAUCAAAAAAUACAAUGUACUUUCACAAAUUUUUCACUUUAUACAAUGUACUAAAAAUCACGCUAAAAUAUCAAUGUACUUUAAAAAAAAUUUCACGUUAUACAAUCUGUCUAAAACUAACUAAAGGAUUGCUUACGUGGUCAAUAAUUAUCUACAUGUAUUUUUAUUUUUUUUAAAUAAAUGUUGAUUGUAAAAUUAAAACCAACACAUCUGCUUUAAAACAUGUCAUCAUCAACAAAUGUUUACAUUUAAACCAUCCAUUAAUCCCAAGAUGUUAGUGAUAUAGAUGUAUUACUCCAUUACAUCGAAACCCCCUAAAUCAACAUUUCUUCCAUCUCUCUUUCUCAUAGCAAAUGCGAACCCUAAAUCUUCUCUUUAAUUCUUCAAACCCUGAUUUUAAUUAACCAUUUUCUCACAACUAAAACCCCAAUAAAACACUAAUGUAUGGUGAAUCGGUGAAUCUUAAGAAAGAAUCGGUGUGGAACAAUCUUGUUGUGUGUGUAAAAGAAAAAUCCCCUUUCAAGUAAAUAAUAACUAGAAGUUAGUUUAACACGAAAAGAUGAAGACACAAAAGCUAGGGUUUGAAAUUGAAUUGGAGAUUUGAAUUGGGGAUUUACAGAUUUAGGGAUUUUUACAUUUGUUGAAUUCAAUUGUUAAAAUAGGGAAGAAGGAGGUCAAUCAUGUGAGAAACAUGUGCCUUAUUUGAUGUGUUGGAAAUAUUGUUUAAUUUAUUUUUUUUUUAAAAAUACACGUAGAUAAUUAUUGGCCACGUAAACAGUCUGUUACCUAGUUUUGGACAGAUUGUAUAACGUGAAAUUUUUUUCAAAGUACAUUGAUAUUUUGGCGUGAUUUUUAGUACAUUGUAUAAAGUGAAAUUUUUUUGAAAGUACGUUGUAUUUUUUGAUCAUUUUACCUUCAGGAAAUUACCUUUUUCUAUAUCAUACAAUAAUACACUUUAUAAAGUGUUUCUUAUUUACAAUACUCGAGUAGAAACCUUAUAAAUAUUUUCCACCCUUAUAAUACUCACCUGUGGACAUUAUAAGUUGGUUCUAUUUUUGAACAGGUCACAUUUACAAGCUUCUUGCCAGGCAAAAAUAAUUGAUCUUGAGGAGUGACAAAAGACGGUAGAGAGCUCAGUGCAGGCAAUGAGGCAAAAAACAUAAAAAGGAUUUGAAAAAGGUUAACCAACUAGUUCAUUGUUCUGAGGAGCAUGCUGUUUUGCGGGUAUGUUUAUUACUUAAUUAUUAGCUUAAAUACGUACCACUGUUGAGUUUGAUGAUUUAGCUUGAGGGAACUCGUUUAUUACUUUAUUGUAUUUCUUUCUGAUGAUAUAAGUUUCUCUUUAAUUUGAGUAAGAUCAAUUCUUCGGACCUGAAAGCGAAGAAAAAGUGGCUUUAAUCAAACAAGAAGCUACUGAGAAGCACAAGGUGCAUGCAGCCCAACUGAGGUUCUUGAAACGCCUAAUUCCUCUCAUGGACAUGAGGAUUGACAAAUUUAACGCCAACAGUUAGUGCUGGCAGUUCUUUUUUAUUUUGGCUGUGCUGGCAGUUCGUUGUCUUUCAAAUCAGCUAUUGAAGAGUGGAGCAUGAGGACUGUUGACGAUGAUGUGUUGUGCCAUGCCGUUCGGCAAGAAUGUUGAUGUUUUUUUUUUUUUUAAUUUUCUGUACUGUGAUGUACUGUGGUUCAUAACCAAGUAUAAAGUCUUAAUCCGGAUAUUAUAAUUAGGACCAACAAAUUGGCACUCGGUCUUUGUUAAUAACCCAUUAGCCCAGUCGAACUCACAUUCGUCCAACUCAUUUAUCCAAACUAGUUGAAUCCGUUUUAUACACUGAGAUUUGUGAUUUCAUAGUACAAAUAAUGUUAUUGUUCAAACGUAUAAACAAAUGAUUUGUGAUUUCAUAGUACAAAUAAGUAGCUUAAGGCUCUAGAUUUAGCCAAGGGGAAAAUUUUAAUAUUGCAAAUAUAUGUUGGUAAACAAAUUCGAACUCUUAAACUGUAUUAUUCAUUAUCAAAGAGAUAAAAUGAUUGUAUGAUUCAAUUCUUUGAUUUCGAAGUAUUUGUUUAACAUUAGAUUGGAUACCCAAUAUCCCUCUUCUUAAUUGAUGAGUUUGUAAUGAAAAAAAAAAACAAUCAAUUAAUUGAAAAUUGUUAAUCUGAACUGUUCAACAUGAUAACAACAUUUGGCGAUUCUUCUCGUCAUGGGUUUGUAGCUGCUAGCCUACAAGGUUGACACAAUUCGUGGGCUUAAGUGGAGCAUGAGUGAUUCAAGGCCUACUUUGAAUGAAGGCCCAACAUGGAAUUAUGAUAGGAUUUCUCUUCUACAAAGAAAAUAAGGGUCUGUUUGGAAACCUGGAAUUGAGGCUGGAAUUGAAAAUGAUUUUCCAAAACAUGCAAUUUUGUGCAUUUGGAAGGACUUUAGUCCAUGAAUUGAAAAUAAAAAUCCUUAAAUAUCAAUGAAUCACAAGUUUCUUAUGGGGGGUAAAACUCUUGAUUCUAGGCUUGAUUGAAAAUUUAUUUUUUAUGUAAGGAAACUUUAAUAUUGCCAUCUAUAUUAUUUUCCUAUUAUAUCACUUAUUUAAUUUUCUUUUCUCAUUUCAAUCUAUGUAUCCAAACAUAGUAAAAAUUAACAUUAAAAAUUUCAAUUCUCUAAAGUCUUAAGUUUUCGAAUUAUAAACUCAAUUCCAAUUUCCAAGAAAGUUUCCAAACAGACCCUUAAGGUUUUCCAUUAUCUCUACCACCUCCAUUCCUAGUUUCCUACUAUGUGAAGUAAACGAAACCUUCAUCUUCUCCAUUCCAACAUCAUCAACAAGGAUUGCUUUUUCAAGUCAGUCUAAGAAGGUGUUGUAGUGAUUGCAAAGAUAGAAGACUACGCAGAGCACUUCUACAAGUAUUAGCUUCUGUGAUUAGGUUAAUCUGAGACUGUAUUAGUGAGUGUAUCUUUUUAUUUCAUAUAGUGGAUUUUUUAUCGUCGUGAGGACAGUCGUGGAUAUUUUCCAGUGAUUAGGUUUUACCACGUUAAACAACUAUGUUUUUUAUUGCUUUCGUAAUUAGUUUAUUUCUACUAGUAGUUAUUAGACUAUUGUACUAUUUGGGGUUUACAAUAGGUUUUUAUUUAUCCCAUGAGUCCUACACUAAAAACCAGUUAUGCAAAGUUACAGACUUAAAAUAAAAAGUUUGUUAAAUAAUAAAAAAAAAAAACAGAACAUGGUAUAUUGGUAUGUCAGUUUGACUGCUAGAUCUCAGCAUAAUGGUAAUAGUGUACGUUAAGUUUUCAAACUGCAAUAAGACAUGUUGUAUUAUACCAACCAAACAGUGUUUAUCUUGCCCAUAACAACUACUUCUAAACUAACUUGAAUUAGUAAACUAACUUGAAGUCUUGAACAUGGUUUCGGAUACAGAGUUUGAGUGGAAAUUAGAAUACCAAUUAACCAAGGUUCAAACCGACUCUAGGGUUACAAGAAAAACUAUAUAAAGCCCUCCCUGUCUCUGUCUUUCUCUCACAAUUAAAGAAGAAGAAGUAUUAAGGUUAUACUUUUCUGGUUUUUGAGAAGAGAUAUCUACAAUGGGUGUUUAUACUUUUGUUUGUAGAAGUUCUGGAAGUGAAUGGAGUGCAAAACAAACUUCUGGUGGUGAUAUUGAAGCAUCUGCUUCUUCUACUUUUGAUUUGCAGCGGAAACUUGUUCAAGCUGCUCUUUCUCGCGACUCUGGUGUUGUUUCUUCUUCUUUCUCUUUGGUUACUCCUUCUUCUGGUGUUUUCCAGGUUAUUGUUGCCUCUGGUUUUGUUGGCGGUAGUGGAGCAGCACCUGCACCUGCAAGUUCUGUCAUUGGAGAAGCAGCUGCUGUAGCACCUAAAGCUGAAGAGAAUAAGGAAGAGAUUCUGGAAGAAAGUGAUGACGACGUGGGUGGUCUUUUUGAUAUCUUUGAGUAAGGUCAUAUAUUAAUUUUUGCAUUGAAAAAACAAGUUUACGAUAAAUUUUUCAUAGCGGAUUGUUGUGUUUUGGUAUAGAUUACUUUAUGUUGUUUCCUCAAGAAAACCAAAGUACAAAGAAAUAUUAUUGUGGUAAAGUUGUGCAUACUGGAUUGUUUAAUCAUUAUAAUAAAUGAUAAAUUAGUGAAUUGAACUUGUUAAGUAUACUAAUAAUCAGACUGAUUAGAGCUCGCUCUAAUUACUGUAAAAAUGAUGUGCUACCAAGUACUUCAAUAUGUUGCAAAAAUUUGAAGGCUUGAGAUGAAUAUAUACAUAACCAUAACAAAAGCAUUAAUGCUGUGAAUCCUAACAAUAUUAAUUAUAAGUGGAAAAAAUAAAAAAAGAACUUCAUCAAUGAAGCUUUUGUUAUAAAAGGAUGUGUGAUUUAGCUGAGAAGGCAGUACGCAAUAACCUAUAAUCUGACAAGAGAUUCAGAACACAAGAUCUCAUAACAAGCAUCAUAUAUAGACUUGCAACUAUUAAAACUUUCUACUUAGGACUCUGCAUAUCGUAUAUGGAACACUCUUUAUGAAUGUGUAGCAUCCAUCAGUAUCUUUUUUCCGAUUGUCAAGCGCUGUACAUAAUAGCUACAAGGACUCAGUUUUCAUAACCGAGUGUCACUAAAUCUGGUGUAACAAGGAAUCCUCUGGCAAACCAUGACAAUUUAUGUGAUAAUGAUCAAGUUGUCAGACUACAGUUAUCCUUUUCAUUUACUUAAUUAAGCAAUGCCUGCAGUUCUCAACCUUGGUUGCUAUUAAAUUACUUGUAGCUCUUGCAGUUAUAUAUCCUCCAAGAAUAUACAUGGAAUCGGAGUUUCCAAAUUAUAUAUAUAAAUCUGCAGAACUUGUCAGAGACACUUAUCUAACUGCGGCAUUAUGCUAACAUGAUCUUGUGUUCACUCUGUUAUUAGGGUUGAACAAAUAUUAAUGUAAUUUCUGGGAUCUAAGCUUUACAGACAUUAUUGUUGAGUUAAUUAUGUAGAUAGAGACCAACAUAUUAUUGUUGAGCCCGAUUUGGACUGAGUUUUUAAGACUUGUCCAUCAACUACAGAAUUAUUAUGUGCAGCAAAUGGAAAGGAACAAUUAUCUUACAAGUUAUAUGGUAAUGUAAGUGCAAAGUGUUUAAUGAAUUUUUACUUAAUUUAAUUAAGAAUCCACAAAUUUGAUGUAAUUUCUUUAGCAUCAAGUAUACCUUUGGUUUCAUGCCUAUGUACUUUUGCCUCACCACAUUAUUUUCAGAAUGAGAAUCAGAUACUACAUAUAGUAUCUUGGUUAACACUAGCUAGCACUUCUUUACAAGCUAGCACCUUAACUGUUGAGUUCCAGGUUUUCAACAACUUCUAUGAACAACUUUCAAAUGACUGCCACACACAAUACUUCUUGCAAACAGAUUGCUGAGCCCUAUAGCUGCCAGAAUCAUCUCCAAAGAGCAAUGCGGAUUUCUUACAGGUAGAAGUGUUCAUGAAGCAAUUGCUUUAGCCUCUGAACAAACAAAUGAAUUGAGUAUUAAAAGGCAUGGAGGAGGUACUGGUCUCAAGUUAGACAUCAGCCAGGCUUUUGAUACUCUCCAUUGGGACUUCUUGUAGUUCGUACUUCAAAAGUUCGGAUUCUGAUACUCUCCAUUGGGACUUCUUGUGGUUCGUACUUCAAAAGUUCGGAUUCUCCAAUACUUGAUCUACUUGGGUCAAAGGCACUGUCACUAACAAUAGCAUAUCAAUCCUCAUAAAUGGAGGCCCUCAAGGCUUCUUUCAAGCUAGCUAGCACCUUAACUGUUGAGUUCUUUUCAACAACUUCAAAGAACAACAAAGUUCAAAUGACUGCCACACACUGACACACAAUCCUAUAGUUGUGACUGUAGAGGUUAUUCAUACAAAAUUGCAUUCUCAUGAUUUUUUUUGUUUUUUAAAAUGGUUUGGGAAUUGGAAGUGAACAUAUAAACUUUACUAGCUGAAGAUCAUCUUCUACAAUGGUUUAAUUGUUUCUUCAGUUUGUUAUUGGUUUAUUUAAACGCUUUCCUUGGAUAAAAUUUGGAGAUACGUACUGGAGUAAACUAAAUACCUGGUAUUUGCUUAGAAAGUUAGAAUAGAGCAAAAAAUACAAAUAAAAAAACAAACAAAAACAUCCAAUACCUGGUGGAUUGUGAAGCAACUAACCGUUCAGUUUUUGGUUUUGAAAUUUAAAAUCCAGAAUUAAACCAACCAAACCCUAAUAUGUUCACCAGAUAUUAUUCAAUUUAAUGUUUGUAAGUAAAUUAAUUAAUUAUUGUUAUUUUUUGUCAAUGAUUGAUUUAAUAAAUUAUAAAUUUGUUUAUUUAUUUGUUGAUUUGUUGUGAUGGUGGGUUAAUUGUAGAUUUGAUUGGUUGUCAGUUGACAUAGAUAGGACAUUUGAUCUGUUUGUCAUAUGGCAAAAACUUAAUUAUAAACCCAAUUACACAGCUCAUUUAUCAUUAGAGUCUCCAGAUCCUUUAUCACUGAGCUCAAGAGAACUGAUGGUAGUAAAACCUCGAACCAACAAGAACUGAGUGACCGGAUAGUGCCACACUACACAGAUAAAUUGUUACGACCCGACUUAUAUCACCAUUGAUAUUGUCCCCACUUAGCUAUUGCGGUCGCCCGACAGUGUGAGGUUUUUUGUGGGCAACAGUCUGCUUUCUACGUGGUCACCCAUCCUGAGACUACUCCCACCCGAGCACACUUAACUCCAGAGUCCCUUUGAACUUUGGAGCCAAGUUAGCCCAAAAGGCCUCGGUAAUAAUAUUAGAUGAAUCUAUACCUAUAUUCUAAUGUCAGAACAUUCUCCUCUCAUGUGUCAUAGGACCCACCUCAUCAACAAACCAUCUACCGACCCGAGGUGUUACAAUCCUACCACCUUAGAGGAGAGUCGUCAUCGUCUUUGAAAAAUACAGCCCCAGAUCUCCAACGUUCUCUGCCCCUCGCGAGAUGAGUACUCGACGCAACCGUCACCCCUUCUUGGGCUAGACACCUUUUCAGCCUACUCUCCCACCCUCGACAGGUACCAUUGAAAAUAUGUAUUCUGUAUAUUAUAGAUUUAUAACUUGACUGGAGAUGUUAUAGCUCCAUUUAUUUGUAUAUUUUAAGGCUCCGGAUUUUGCCAAGAAAAAAUUGAUUAUGCCAAUGAUUAUUUGAUAACUUUACUAAUUUGCCCUUAAUUACUUUUCAUGAAAUAUAACACAGCUGACAUAAAAUACAUAUAAAAUUAUAAUGACAGAUUUGCCCAUUGCCCAAAAAUAGGAAAAAUCUAUUAAUUCAUUAUUUCCCGCUAAAAACUAGGAAUCUCUCCCUCCAUAUGGUUUCAUCUUCCCUUCCUGCCUUACUAUUCUAUUUUCACCUUUCGUAGUUUCAUACACAAUCUCACAACCUAGAUCCAAAAUUCAUGACAAUUUUUAUUCAUCAAUAAAGUCAACUCGGAGUAAGUCUUUUUAAUAACUGAUUUUAAUUAUUAUUUUUGAUUGUAAACUUCGAUUAAAUUUUUUAUUAUUGCUUAAGAUUCGUAGUUAAUCAAUGUCAUAUAAGUAGUUAUAAUUAUAUAUCUUUGUGAUGAACGGGAGAAAUCGACAGUAAUACAUGUCUACAAUUGUUGAAAUAAUUCUAUUCAAUAUUGAGUUCAUUUGAGAAACCAGAGAAGUUUGGUCUCUUUUAUACUGAUGGACUAAUUAAAUUCCUUUAUAUGGUACUGUACACAUUGCUAAACAUUUGACGCAAGGAAAAAACAAGGGCAACAUUUCUUAUUAUUGCUGCUGCUAUUAGUAAGAUUAUAUAAACCAGAUAUUUUAUUUUGAAUGCAAGGCUUAAACACUUCUUACAAGUAUUAUGGAUGCACAACAAGUGAAUCAUACUAUAAACGAUAAUGUACAUUAUGAGGCUACAAGUGUAGUUUCAGUAAACAAUGAAGAAAGUGAAAAUGAAGAAGUUUUUGAAGAUGGAAAAAUGCUUCCACCACCAGUGAGAACUUUUAAUAGCCGAGAAGAACUACUUGAAUAUGUGCACGACUUUUCUUUAUCACAAGGAUAUGCUACAACCAUAAGAGAUUCUGAAAAGGAUAAAUAUGUUACAAUUGGUUGUGACAGAGGAGGUACCUAUAGGAAUAGAAGUAAUACAUCGAUUGAAGAACGGAAAAAGAAAAGUGGUUCUCGACUUAUUAAUUGUCCCUUUAGAAUUAAAAGUGUCAAGCUAGUCGAUGGUUCAUGGAUAAUCAGAAUAAGCAAUGGAACUCAUAACCAUGAAGCAUCGAAAGACGUGUCUGGGCAUCCUUCUUUCCGUCCAUUUUCUAACAAAGAGUUAUUGAGGAUCAAAAAAAUGUGCAUGUCAGGCAUACCACCACGCCAGAUUCUUACUUCGCUUCGCCAGGCUAAUCCAAAGCUUAAAGCCAUAUCAAGGACAGUUUACAACACAAAAGCCAAGAUUCGUAAGGAAAAGCUACGAGGUCGAACACCUAUUCAAGCUUUACUUGAGGAACUCUCUAGUGGAGGAUUUUUACACAAUAUUAAAGUUGAUACAGAAGGUAGGCUUACUCAUUUGUUCUUUGCUCAUCCCCAAUCAAUCAAAUUAAGCAAGAGCUACCCAAAUGUCUUUGUGAUGGAUUGCAUUUACAAAACCAAUAAGUUCAAGAUGCCAUUACUUGAUAUUAUUGGAGUUUCAAGCUUUAAUACUUCUUUUUACUCGUGUUUUGCAUUCUUAUCAAAGGAGGAAACAAGUGACUAUGCUUUGGCUCUAAGUAUGUUCAAGGAAAUGUUAGGCAGCGAUGAACCUGUGGUUAUUGUAUCUGAUCGAGAAUUUGCUCUCAUGAAUGCCAUUGAGGUAAUUUUUCCAAGGACUAUAAACCUCUUAUGUUUAUGGCAUAUUGAAACAAAUAUUAUAGCAAAUUGUAAAAAGUUUUUCAAAGAAGACGACAAGGAAAAGAAAGAAAACGAUUGGGAUACAUUUAUAACUGGGUGGACUGAUCUGGUGCAAUCAGAUUCUGUGUCGUCAUUUAAUUCAGCAUGGAAAGAAUUUGAAGUGACUUAUAAGGAGAAAGUUAAUGUGGUUGAUUACAUAAAAAAAAUUUGGCUACCGUUCAAAGAACGUUUUGUAAAGACAUGGACAGACAUUCACUUGCACUUAGGAAAUCGAGUUACUUCGAGGGCAGAAGGUGCACAUGCAGUCCUUAAAAAAUAUUUGCAAGUUUCUACUAGUGAUCUCCAUGUGGCGAAAGAAAAGAUAUGUCUUGCAGUUGAAAAUAAUUUUCUAGAAAUCAAGACAAAACUUGCAAGUGAAAAGCUCACACUGCGUCAUAACAUAUGUGUUCCAUUUUUCAAAGAAGUUGUCUAUUGUGUAUCAGUGUUUGCAAUAGUGAAGCUAUUUGAACAAUAUAAAUUAGCUUUAUUUGAUUCAAGCUUGCACGCAUGUAAACGCCAGUUUGUUGCGACGAUGGGUCUUCCUUGUGCACAUAUGAUGAGAUGUAUGAAAGAUAAAGUAUUAUGGCUUUCUGAUAUACACCCACAAUGGAGAAUUGAUAAACGGUCAUUUGAAGAUGAUGACAUUGUCAUUGAUCCAGGCAAUACAAUAGAUUCGCUCACAGGUUUACUUCAAGAACUAGAAAAGAAUUAUCACCAGUGGCCUAUAGCUCAGAAGAUAAUUGCUCAAGAACGUCUAUCUUAACUUAUAAAUUAUUCCGUGCCUAUUGUGUUUGAUCCUCCUAUUCAUUCCCAUAAAGUGCGUCCAGCAAAUUCGAAAACUAAGAAAGUGUCCAGUUCCACUAGAAGGGAUCCGUCAGCAUUUGAGAUUGUUGAAAAGUCGAGAAAGUACAGUAACUGUCAUGAAGUUGGUCAUAAUAGUCGAACUUGUAAACGUGUUAAUGUGACUCAAGAAUUUGCUGCUAUUGAGCUAAAUCCAGCUGAAAAGAACACUUUAGAUGGGGUGAAUUGGAACUCCAUGCCUAUGGACACAUUGGGUAAAUAUAUUUCUAUUGUUUGAUGCCAAUUUUAUAUUAAUUGUUUUUACUUACGUAGUUCAUAUAAUCUACCUAGUUUUAUAGCAUUUGUCAUAAUGUCUGUCAAUGUUAUUUUUAUUCACAGGUCCAGAAGAAUGAAUUAGGAAGAGACAUGAUACAGUACCUAAAAGCUUUGCAAGGAUUUUGGUAAGUUUGAACUUAUAACAACUUUACUAAAAUCCUUAUAGCAUGCACUUUUAUUUUUCAACAAAAUGUAAAAAUGAUAUUGGUCAUCAAACCAAGUAUAAAUAGUCUGACCAGCCUGCGUUUUCAUGCAUGAUGCAUCGUCAGGUUACCCCAAAGGACAACACAUCUUUUACACAACAACCUAACACCCCAACCAAUUACUUUCCAGUACAUAUAACAGAUACAAGAAAAAUAUAGUCUGGUUCAACAACAACUCCAUCUUGCCCUUCACAGUAGCAUCCUUAAGUACAGUCCUUCCUUAGCCCAUCCCUGCCCUACAACAUCAUUGUCUUGCAACAGUAGGAUACAUAUGCCUUAGAGUCGACUUAUGUAUUUAUUAUAACUUACACACAUAUUUUCUCUACAGGUUACUUUUGUGGAUUAGGAGAAAAUAGCAAUUUGAUGAAUAAAGGCGGAUGCAUGGGAAGAAUGUUUGGUUUUUCAUUUGGUUGUCUUCGUAGGAGAAAAUAGUUUUAUCGAUGUCGAUCAAGUAGGAGUUACAAGCUUUUAAAUUUCUUUUGUAAAUUGUAAUGAUUUCAUUAUUUUGAGGUACUUUGCCCAUUACUUAAUGACUUCAGACCUUCAGUUGAUGUUAGUUGUUCAAUUUGGUUGAAGUAUAUUAAUUCAAUUUUUCUGAGAAUAAAUUAAAAUCAACCAUGGUUGAAGUUCAACAUCCACAACGUAACAUGGUCAUUAUGGACAACAAAGUCCAACUGAUGCUAUCAAGAGUAUGCUACCUAAUAGAGGCCUAACAGCUUCUCAAGACAUUGCAGUGAUCACACAUUCACACUAAUUCCUCUGGGUGGUCUUCUUCUUACUCUUGCUGGUCUUACUUGCUACAGUUGUUGGUCUAGCUGUGACCACACCACUUAUCAUCCUUUGUAGCCCAGUGUUAGUGCUUGCUGCACUCACAACUGGUCUUGCAGUCAUUGGGUUUCAGUGGACUGAUAUUUCAAUGAGUCAGACCCAUAAGAUUUUUUCAAACUAAUAUCUUCUUUUGUUAAGAAUUAAUAGAUUUUUCCUAUUUUUGGGCAAUGGGCAAAUCUAUCAUUAUAAUUUUAUAUGUAUUUUAUGCCAGCUGUGUUAUAUUUCAUGAAAAAUAAUUAAGGGCAAAUUAAUAAAGUUAUCAAAUAAUCAUUGGCAUAAUCAAUAUUUUCCUUGGCAAAAUCCGGAGCCUAUUUUAACCAAUUUAAAUAUAAUUACCCUUUAGCAAAAAAAAAAAAAAAAAAAAAAAAAAUUACUCCCUCUGUUCCAAAUUAUAAGUACCUUAUUCCAUUUUUAGUUGUCCCAAAAUAUAUGUCUUUUUUCAUAUUUGAAUACAUAUUAAUUAAGUUAAAUUGUUCUUUUACUUAUACUACCCUUGCUUUAUACUACCCUUGUUUUGGAAUUAGAGUAGACUAUGUUUAAUAAGUGGAACCCCAUUAAAUAAAGAUAAAUUUGAAAGUGUAGUAGUAGACAAACAAUAAAUAAUGUUCUCUUAAUAAGUAGAAUAUUCCAGAAGGUACUUAUAAGUUAUAAUUUGGGACGGAGAGAGUAUCAUUUUUAACUCAAAACCAAGCCAGUUUGAAAAUAAAACAAACUUGGGCCUAAUACACAUUCCAUGGAAACAUAGGAGAACAUAUACAGGACUACAGGAGACAUAUUCCAUGAAUUACAAGUGGAUUACUAUUUCCAAUUUAAGCAUUUCUAGCUAGGGUCAAACAACUCAAUCAUUCAGGGUCACAGACAGUCACAUAUAGAGUUUUACUGAACCAUAAGUUAUGCUUGUGUUUCACAAGCCAAUAAACACAUCGAUCACCAUUGUGGCUAGAAUUGUAGUAGGACUUGGUGACCCGUAUAUGAUAUAUCAAGAACUCAAGGUUGUAGUUCAUCAUUAAACUUGCAUUUUUAAUAAACUGAUCAUAUUGCAUGUUUGCAUGUGAAAUUCCUUGGGGCCGUGUUUUUCAUUCAAAGAGUCGCAACAAAAGUUCUGUUAUCAGCUGGCCUAAAUGAGAAAUUCCGAUAGAAUGAUAAAUUCUCAAGGAAGAUAGUAUAUAUAGAUCAUACAAUUGAUCCUUAUUUGGUGUAUUAUUAUUUAUUUAUUUAUUUAUUUAAACUGAGAUAAUGGAGUAAACUAAGCAUAAACUGAUCACUAAUUUGUUCACUCAAAUUCAAAUUAAAUUGUUAGAGAGAUAGACAAAAUUGAAGGUUUAGAAGAGUUUCCCUUUGGGAUUUCCAUAUUAACUAAGUGUUUACAUCUAAAUCCACUUAUUUCCACAAAAUCUGGAGUGCGACCAUAAAGCUUCUCAAAAGGAGAAAGACCAGAAGUCAAAAUAGUAGGAAUCAUGUUAACCAAAUGAACAACAGUAAGAACUGCUUCCCCCCAGAAAAUAUUAGAGACAUUAGCAGACAAGUAAAGAGAGCGAACAGUUUCAACAAUAUGACGUUGUUUCCUUUCAGCAACACCAUUUUGUUGAGGGGUGUCGGUACAAGAAGCCUAGUGGAUAGUCCCAUCAGUUGCAAGUAGAGCAGAAAAUUCAUUUUUAGUAUAUUCACCACCCAAAUCAGCUCAAAAACACUUAAUAACAGCUAAGUGUUGAGUUUUAAUAAGUACACGAAAAGCAAUAAAUAUGCUAAGAAAAUCUGAACGACGUUUCAUAAGAUAAACCCAACAAUAUCGAGUAUAAUCAUAAAUAAAAGAGACAUAAUAUCGUGACCCCCCUUUGUGACAGUAGGAGCAGGUACCCACACAUCAGAAUGAAUCAAAUCAAAUGGUGCAAUGGAAACAUAAGUACUUUGAUUGAAAGGCAAAGCAGAAAACUUAGCAAGUUUACAACCACUGCAAUCAAAUAUAUCAUGAAUAUCUAAAUUUCCUAAUGCUCCACUAGAAGCCAAAAAUCUCAAACGAGAAUAUGACACAUGACCAAGUCUAGAAUUCCAUAAAUAAAAAAGAGAAGAUCGUGGACUCAAACAAAAUGAAGUAAGAUCAACACUGGAAGCUACAACAUCUAGAAGUCGCAAAUUCUCCAAAACAUAUAGUCCCCCCCUCUCUACGGCCUAUCCCAAUCAGCUUCUUGGAUCGAGGAUCCUGUACAUAACAAUAAGUGGGGAAAAAGUGAACAAUAUAUCCAGAAUCACAUAAUUUGCCAACAGAAAUCAAAUUCAACUUGAGCUUAGGAAUGCAAUAAAUAUUAGAAAGAGACAAGUGAGGACUGUCAAUGGAACCAACGCCAUCUAUUGGCAAAGGGGCGCCAUCAACAGUGACAACCGGGAAGGAUGAUGGGGGUGGGGAUAAACUUUAAAAAGAAGAAGUAUAAUACGACAUAUGUUGGCCUGCACCUGAAUCAUAUAUCUAUGUGGAUGGGGAUAUACCUGAGGAAGUAGAGGAUGACAAACCUAUUGGCAUAGAUGUGGACAUGGCAGAAGGCUGUGUAGUAAGAAACACUAAAGAAAAAGUUCACCUGGAUAAACAAAGAAACUAUUUGUAUCACUAAGUAGUUUGUUUGUUUGGUUCAUUUGAACUUUUAUUUGAAAGAUUUGAUUGCAAUCUUUAAGAUGUGCAAUGUAGGAAUAUUUUUCUUCAUUGCACAUUUUGUUGAGAAUAUUCAGAUUUUUUUUUUCUUUCACUAGAUUGCCAAAAGGUAUAUUUGAUACUUCAAAAGCUUAAACACGAUUCUCUUUUCUUCUUUUUUUUUUUUGUAACAGUUGACUUAAUACGGAUAUAAAUAGUUACAUACUAUAAACCUCCAGUAUGAUUUCUUCAUCUAUCAUUUCUACAUCUCCUCUUAAUCUUUCUUCUCUCAGGUCUCUAGCUAGACCAGCCUGUUCAGGUACUUCUCUCGAUCUUUCUGUUAAUGAUUUUACUAUGCUUAUUUGAUUUGAUUGUGAAUGUGAAGAAAAUCAAAUUCCUAUGUUUUUUUUUUGUUUUUUUUAAUUUGCAGAAACCGACAGAUAACAAGUAUGGUGGGUUCUUUCAACAAUCAUCAGGGUCUCUUGAAACUGUUUCUGGUGCUUGUUGCACUUUCCAGGUGGUGUUCACCAAUUAGUGGAAAUAAAGUACAUGUGGUUGUGAGAAAUGACAUUCGAAACAAUAUAACGUUGAACCUCCAAUGCAGAAAUAUGAAGGCUUACAGUGACAUUGGUUCAUACAAACUUGGUUACAACCAACUGGUUGAGUGGAGGUUUGAAGCCUAUACACAUAGAAUUUGGUGCUUAGCUUCCUGGCACUAUAACAUUGAGUUGAUCGAAGGCGGGUUCUAUGUAUACCGUGAAGAUGUAGAUAAAUGCUAUGAAAACUGCAUCCGGGAUGCAAAAUUUGAUGGUGUAUGGGCUUACACUAACAAUGGUCGGCCGCAUAUGAUAUAUAAAUGGUAUCGGCCACAAAAGGCUUUAGGGGAGGAAAUCAAAGUUUAAGUCUGGAUGGUUGUCACUAGUUGGUAAUAAGCUAAAAUAAUAAAGUUGAUCGAGUAAAAUUAUAUGUAUUUCACUAGUUAUUUGCAUCGCUAACCAUGAAUUAAUAUGUCUAUCACUGAAGAAAUAGUUAGGGCAUAAUUAAGUCGCAUUUGCAGAUGCACAUUUCAAGCUUGUUGUGAAUUCUGCCAUGCCACUUCUGCUGUUGUGGACUGUGGUGGCUGAAUACUGGGUGGAUGGUCUAUUUGCAUCUCUGUACCAUUCUAUCAAGGAAGCCAAGAUUCCUUAACAUUAUAGCUGGCCUGGUUGCUAAAUAGCAUCCGAGGUUAAUUAGUCCUGAUACAUUUGAUUGCGUAAUUGGUAUGUAAAUGACUGCAAAGUUCUGAACUUCUGAUACUAGUAUAUACCUCUUCAUUUCCUUGUGAUCGAUCACAUAUUCUAUUGAAUGAAUUGAAGAAUUGUGGAACCACAGAUCAUCAAAAGAAUUGCCAAUAAUAAAACAGACCUAUGACACAACUAGCACACGCAUUAUUCCAAUAGAACCACAUCACUACUAACUAGGCCUAAACCCAAUAUUCUGGGAGCAGGACUCACCCCAGUUGUUUGUUACCCGCACACAAUUACACAGUUUCGAUAGAUGUAUGUGGUAGCCUGGUAGGUUAUACAUUCAAAAUAGGAUUCACAUGAUCAUGAGUUCUGUUUUCAUGGCAAUUGGAUUUAAAAUUGGAUUCACAUGGUAGGUUGUGUUUCACCACAUGACAUAUGAAUCCGACAUGCAAGUUUAUAUAAAUAUUUUUCACAAUGAACAACAUAAGACCCGCAUAUAGCAAUGUUUUUUGGUUUAACUUGUUGCUGGAAAAUUUAACUGUAUCUUGUUUACUGAGAGACAGUACAUGUUUAGAUAUUUGAGUAAACUAAACAUGUGGUACUUUUUUGUUGUAAUAGCUUAAAAUACAAACUAGGGAAAAUUGGCAAUAACCCCCCAUAUUUUGACCGGUUUUGGCAAAAACCCUCUAAUUAUGCCAAAUUUGGCGUAAACCCCCCAACCCCUGCUUCAAAAAAAAUUUAGUCUCUUGUACCGCUAAUUCAAAAUAUUCGCCUAAACCCCCUAAAUAUAUGUUAACAGAAGUUAACAAACAUAGGCUAAAUUUCUGUUACUGUAGUAUAAUCCAGGUUAAAAUCUCGAAAUCCGUGAGAUCUCAGCAUCCCCAAAACUUGAGAUUUCGGCCGUCUUUGAUAAGAUGAACUAGCUUUUUGUUAAAUUCUCAACUCAUUAUUCAAAAAUUCCAAACCCCAAUUUUGUGCCAAUUUCACGUUAUUAUAUUCAGAUUCAACCCAAUUACAUCUAAUUAUAGUUGAUAUGGAAAACACUUAUACAAUUUCACAUCAACAAACCCAUUCAAGAAAAAAGAAAAUUAGAAUUGCAUCUACUGUAUAUUUUAAAUUUUGGGGAAGAUGAUGGAGACAAGGACGAAAUUGGUAGAGUUUUGUAAAAUUUCAACACUAAUAGAGUUCCACAAGACAAAAAGUUUGAUAUGAACCUUGAUUUGAUAUAUAAGCAUAAUAACAUUAUCAAUAAAUAAUAAGGAUCAUGAAUCACGUAAUUAAUCACUAACAAAUACACAUACCUUUAUCCAUAUCCAUUAAUAAUCCAAGAAGCUGCACAAGAUCUAGGUUUCACUCUCCUUACCUCUUAAACCCUAAUCUGUGUUGUAAUAGUAAGUGUAUGAGGAUGAAGAUCAUACACCAAUUUAUAGAGGUGGAGAGAGGACCUAAAUCUACAAACCUAAACCCAUUAGAUCUAGACCGUCCAUCAUAGUUAAGAUCUACGGUAGAUAUGACUUCCACAUAACCUAUUACUAAUUAGCUUAUUUCUAUAUUAAACCAAGGUUAAAGGUACAUGGACCACAUUAUGGGUUGGGCUUUAUAUUUGGAAAUUCCAACAUGAUAGAGUUUGGGGAGUUUGUAAGUAUUUUCUCCAUCUUCUUCUUCUUUGUUUCUUCUAGUUGAAAUGCAAUUGGGUUUUGAUGAAUGGGAAGAGUUGGUGGCAAACCCAUUAGCAAACAUAAUCAAUUGCAGCUUUCCAAUCUGCGUCAUCUUCUUCUCCGCUGCUACUACUAGAUUACUUCAACCCAAUCUAAAUGUUAGUGGGCUAGCCAAGAGACUUGUUUCUAGAUUUCUAGUUCCUACUCUCUCUCUCUCUCUUUUGAUAUAUCCAGUUUGUUUGCUGAAGAAACGAUUUGAUUCUUUAUCAUAUGUUAAUCAAUUUGGUGAGUUUCUUUUAGGUAUUUUGACUUUAUUUAGAUUAGAUGUUUCAAUUCAAGUAGUUGCAAAAUACUUAGAACUUGUUUGAAGAUUCAAGAAGAAACAAAUCAUGUAAUUAAUUUUAAUGUUUUUAUCUUUGGUGGGUUUAGCCUUUAGACUAAUAAAGGUGCCGUUAAUAAAAAUUUACUUCUGUCUUUUAGCUUAUAUUUAGGGGGUUUAGGCAAAAUUUUUGAACCAGGUGUAUAAUUGGCUAAAAUUUUGUUGAAUAGGGGGGUUGGGGGUUUAUGCUAAAUUUGGCACAAUUAGGGAGUUUUUGCCAAAGCCAGUCAAAAUGUGGGGGGUUAUCGCCAAUUUUUCCUACAAACUAUACACAUACCAAAGCCACUUCCGUUUUAUGAUAAUUGGUUAGCAAGUUAAGGAAAAUGACACGACAACAAAAGGAGAAGACUCAUCAGCAGCUCAUGAUUUCUUUAUUAGAUUUACAAAUAUUAUAAUUUCGUUUUUUGGGUUUUCUUUCUUCCAUUUCCUAAUAUAACUUUAGGGGUAUUUAGGUUUUAGUCACUACAUGUAUAUACUAAUUAGGGAAAUGACACUUAAGUUCGAUUAAUUAGGGAUUAUAAGUCUUUGACCGUAUACAUAUCUAACAAAUAUGAGUUCGCAAAUAUUUCAGAGAAUAUAAGUAUUGUUUUCCAAAAACUAAGGGUUCGCACUUGCGUACCCUCAGACACCCCUGCCAAUGCCAUUGUGUGAGUAGUCGCAGAAUUGAUCCAAAAAACUAUCCAAGCAUCAUUGGAUUGUUGAUAAUGAAAAAGAAGGAUACAUGGUUGUUGCUACGCCGAAUAAUUAAUGUUUUGAUUGUACCUUUCAAUUUCAGUUAAAAGGAUGAGGGUAUGACACUCCUAAUCUAUCUAAAGAACAUAUAGAUUAGACUGUAGUAACAUUUUUUAUAUUAACUAAUUAAAUUUCCUUUAACAUGAAUCACUCAUAGUCACAUAGCUGAUAACAACUACUUAUGAUUUAUUUAUUUAUUUUUUAAUGGCAAACAAGCUUUGGAAGAAUUGGUACCACAUACAUAGGUUGAACACACAUUUGAAUUGGUUGUAAAGAUACUGUAACUGCCGAUUACAAAGUUGACACAAUUCGUGGACUUAGUGGAGGUUGAGUGAUUCAAGCCCAUGUGUAGUAAUGGGCCGAUAUGGAUAUGAGGCUCAAUGUGGAAUAUAUAAGGGUUUUCUAAGGCCUCCUUCUACCAUCCUUCUACCAUUAGAUAUAUUGUUAUCCUUCAUCAUAAUCCAUAGUCAUCAUCAACAAAAAUAAGGUGAGUCUAACAAGGUGUUGCAGUGAUUGGAGAGAUAGAAGACUACGCAGAGCACUAUUGUAAGUAUUAACUUCUAUGAUUAGGUUAAUUUGAGAUUGUAUUAGUGAGUGUACUUUUGUAUUUCAAUUCAUAUACUAGAUUAUUUAUCGUCGUGAGGACGGUUGUGGAUGUUUCCUAGUGGUUGAGUUUUACCACGUUAAAUCUCGUGUCUCCAUAUUCUUUAUUGUUUUUUUAGGGUUAUUUUGUAUUUGGUCCCUCUAGAAAAUAGCUAUUUAGCAACUGGUAUAGAGUUUUUCAUUUAUUAGUAAAUAGUUCUAUUUUUGUCAGUUGACUGAGAUCAAACCAUCCUUAAUUUUCUAAUACCUAAACUACCCAUGCACGUGCUAGCCACAUGUUUUCCUAAAUUUUCAACAUCACUAUGAAAAAAAAUUUGAUAAUUGAACUUUACAAAAGAGGAAAGGUUGUUUGUUUUUAUCAAAUUAAGCAUAGUAAUUGGUUACCAAAGGAAAAAAAUAAAAAUAAAAUGAGACAUAGUAAUUGAAAAAAGAAAUGGGUAAUGGACUAAUGAUGUUCAUUUUGCAACUUUGUUAAUGGAUUUGAGGUUUUGGAGAAUACAAAAAUUGGGGUUUGUACUUUCUUUUGGGAUUCAAAUUUGAGAAGGGGGAGUGAGAAUGAUAAUUGAUUAGAUCUGAAUUUGACAUUGCUUGAUCAACUAAGAAUUGUAGAGCAAGUCUCCCAUAUGCCCAUUCUUUCAAUUGAGAAACAAGUUUGUCAUAAGCAAAUUGUUGUAAUUGAUAAGCAGCAAAAACAGUUUUAGCAAAUGAGGUAGUAUGCAUCAUGACCAUAGGAGGAGGGCAUUAGAGCCAAUUUAAUAGCUUCCUUCCUUCACCCACCAUUUUAUUCGACUCCGCCACCAACAUUCCUAACACCACCACCAUCAACUCUUGCUAUUGAAGUGAUAGAUAUGUAUCUCCAGAAACAAAACUCUAUACAAAGAAAGAAAAUUCCUACAAUUCAAGUUAUAGAUUUGAAUCUCCAACACCACCACCACCACCAUCAACACUGCUACUCAUCCCUUGAUUCACUGGUUGGACCUGAUUCCGGUGAGUUAACAAACUCCGGCGAAGAGUUUUUCAGAUGGUUGAUUGAAUGAUUUUUUUUUUCCCAAAAGAAAUUAUACACAUAAUUUUUUUUUUUUUGCACAGUAUACACAUAAUUUUUGUUUUUUUCACAGUAGAAGAAGAUGAAAAGAAGUAAUUACUAAUGAAAUCAGGAAAUUAACAGAAUUUUAAAUCUUUUGGAGAGUCUAGAUCCAAGCAACCUUUGUCACAUAUCCUUAUCUAUGCAUUUAGAUGAUCUUGAAAUGUUGAAUUAAAUGGGUUAAUGAUAUGUCGACAUGUGGUAGGAAUUUUUUCUUAAUAAUCUUUGUAGGAAAUUAGAUUCAUAUAAUAAAACACCAUAUUGAAGGGUAAUUUUGGUAUUUUAAAAUAAUAGAUGGUUUGACCUCAGUCAACUGAGUUGACUGACAGUUAAAUAACGGAAAUAAGACUAUUUGCUAAUAAAUGAAAAACUCUAUACCACUUGCUAAAUAGCUAUUUUGUAGAGAGAUCAAAUACAAAAUAACUCUUUUUUUUUUUAUUGUUUAUUGUUUAUUGUUGAAUUGCACUUAUUUGGGGCUUACAAAUACAUGAGCAUUAAGACUAUUUAAUUGUAUGCAAAAUUACAUUUUCAUGAGUUCUGCUUUCAGUGUCUUGUAUUUCACAUGACUUAGGAGUCGGACAUGGAUAUAUAUGGGCAUUCACCAUUCACCAUUCAAUUGUUUCUUUGUUUGUUAUUGAAAAAUAUAUUGAAAAUUUUGUCUCCUUUUAUUAUAAACAAAAAAUGUUGUGAUAUUGAAGUAAACUAAAUAUGUGAUACUAGCUUUUCAAUUCACUCGAUUGCAAAAUCAUUCAUUUGUGUAACAUGAUCUUGUGUUCACUCUGUCAUUAAGGUUGAACAAAAUUUACAGGCUUGAUUGAUGGUUUGGAGUGGUUCUAUCCAGAAGUUGCAUUGAGAGGUGAUCAUGGACCUAGAGGAUAUGUGUUUCAUUUAGGAAAUGGAAACUUAUGUUUGAUUGUGAGUUCCAUUGCUUGUGUAAAGUUUCCAGAUACAAAUAACUAUGAUCAGAACCAAAAGAUCUUUCUUCGUGCUGAGGUUGAGGCUUCAGCCAUUUAUAACAACCCUGAUGUAAUGUAAGUGCAAAGUGUGUUUAAUGAAUUCUUCCUGUUGUACUUUUGCCUCACCACAUUAUUUUCAGAAUGAGAAUCAGAUGAAUAACACAUAUCUUGGUUUAACACUAGCUAGCACCUUAACUGUUGAGUUCUUCUCAACAACUUCUAAGAACAACGUUCAAAUGACAAUCCUAUAGUUGUGACUGUAGAGGUUAUGUUAGGCAGUAUGUUAGUAUUGCAUAAGUAUAAUUCUAAGUAAAACCAGAAAACCCAGAAUAAAUAGAGUAUGCAAACCAGAACAAUAAUUAAGGACAGUAUGAUGUGAUCGAGUCGAGAAAAUCUCUGUCCUUAAGACAUAAUUUGCCCCAACAGGUGUUGUAUGGGUGUAAUGCAAACUGUCUCCCAGGAUACAACGAUCAAUACCUUCGUCGUGUAGCAGCACUUCAAACAAAACGAAGACGGCGAACCAGUUCAGUGAUGUAACUCUCUCAAGGACACAGACAGACUAUGAAUGAUAAUGAGUAUGAUGUUUUCGAAUGAAUGAAAAAUGCAGACACUGACAAGGUAUUUAUAGCAAGAAAAAACUAAGUGAACAGACACUUGGGCCGAAACAGUUCAUUGAACAGACACAACCAUUAAGGCCGAACAGACACUUUGGACACAACUUUUGGGCCCGAAACAGUUUCAUGAAAGGUUGCACCUAUCUGGGCCGAACCAGUAGCAAACCGGUUCGGAAUAGGUAUGCACCUAUUGGGAUUUAUUCCAAUGGACCUUUCUACUAAAAAGAUUAUGUUGGAUCACCAAGAUCCAAGCCCAAGCCCAAGCCCAAGCCCAAGCCUGAGUCCGAGACCGAGCCGAGCCGGUCGGCGCGCGCGUGUGUGUUUUUCAAGCCCAAGCCCAUGUAAGGUUACACCAAACAUUGUAACCCCAAGGGCCACACCCUUGUUGUACAUGAGGGGUUUUUCUAGACAAAACCUUAUCUACAUGGGUCAAAUGUGGGACUAUCACAUUUUCCUUGCUUUGUCUCAAGUUGUUUGGAACUUGGGACACCAAUUUCUCAUUCAAUAUGGAACAGUUUUAGACGUAUGAAUAUUCUGCGAGCAUCUACUCGGAACGAGGAUUCCAUACGUACCAAGAUAUAGCUCAAUGGAGCUCUAGAACAUAUCGAAAUGUCCAGACAAAGACCUUGUCAGAUUUCUGACAGAAUCUGUUCAAACUGUUUCCAACAGGUUAUUCAUGCAAAAUUGCAUUCUCGUGAUUUUUUUUUUAAAAUGGUUUUGGAAUUGGAAGUGAACAUAUAAACUUUACUUGCUGAAGAUCAUCUUCUACAAUGGUUUAAAUGUUUAAUUGUUUCUUCAGUUUGUUAUUGGUUUAUUUAAAUGUUUUCCUUAGAUAAAAUUUGGAGAUACUGGAGUAAGCUAAAUAGCUGGUGGAUUGCGAAGCAACCGUUAGAAUAGAGUAAAUAAUACCUGGUGGAUUGUGAAACAACAGUUCACUUUUUGGUUUGGAAAUUUAAAAUCCAGAAUUAAACCAACCAAACCCUAAUAUGUUCACCAGAUACCAUUCAAUUUAAUGUUUGGAAGUAAAUUAAUGAAUUAUUUUUAUUUUUUGUCGAUGAUUGAUUUAAUAAAUUAUAAAUUUGUUUACUUAUUUCUUGAUAUUUUUUUUUUUUUGCAAUGAGCAAGCUGGGGUUAGGCAGACCCCUACCAGUUUAUAUCAAAAAAAUUGAAUUGUUACAAAAUACCAAUUCUAAGACCUAGUGAAGAUCAUAUCACUAGCAUCCUGUGCUAGGAUUACACUCAAUUCCCUGGGAUGAGGAUUACAAAAUACACUCUCUGGUUCAUUAUUAUCCCCAAAGGUUGUAAGCCAGUCUGCAGCUCUAUUGCUUUCUCUAAAAACAUGCAUAAAGUUUACUUGUUCAAAUCCUUGCUUUGUUGCUUGAAUCUCUGAAACCAGAUGUCUUGAUCUCCAUUGUAGAGGCCCAGAAGCAUUGAUGCAGUCAAUUGCUUGUUUGAAAUCAGAACAAACAAGAAUCUUCUUGAUUCCCAACUCCUUGGCCAGUCACACUCCUUUGUAUAUUGCUUCCAAUUCAAUGCACAAGAUUGUUAUGCCCCUGGAUCCUCCUGUGUAUGCAUAUAGUGCUGCUCCAUCACUAUCUCUCAAAAUACCUCCAUAUCCUCUCCCUUGCUCUGUGAGGCUUCCAUCUGUAUGAAGUGCAGUGACUCCUUGAGGUGGCCUUUCCGAUUUACAUUGUCUGAUUAGUCUUCGUGCUUUGAGUUGCAACAAUUCCUUGAGCCUAGUAUUGCUUGAGUUAGCUUCCAUUUGUAUACUUAAGCCAUGAAACCUUUGCUUGAUAACUUGGCAUAUGCUUUGGAUGACUCCUCUCUGAUGUACAUGUUUAUCAUUGUAUAACCUGCCAUUUCUCUCCCUCCAUAUUAUGUAGACAGUAGCAUUAAUUGCCACCCUGUAGAGGUUCUUUGAGAACGUGUUCCCAUUCAGUCCCUCUGUGAUCCACUUCCACUCAUGAAUAGCAUCACCAACCUUCCUCUUACUACCACACCACCUCAAGACUUCCUGCCAUACUUCAUGUAAAAAACUGCAUUCAAAGAAGAGAUGCCACAUGUCUUCUCUAUAUGCGGCCCUACUAGUGUUGGCCAGUGGGAUGAUAGAAUUCAAUUUUGCUUGAUCAUACAAGUUUCCAUUGCAAAUUUUAGGGCCUAAGAAGUUGUGUUGAGUUCUCUGGCACUGUGAUUUGUUGCGGCAUAAACUUAAUUAUAAACGCAAUUACACAGCUCAGUUAUCAUUAGAGUCUCCAGAUCCUUUAUCACCAAGCUCAAGAGAACUGAUGGUAGUAAAACCUCGAACCAACAAGAACUGAGUGACCAUAUAGUGCAACACUACACAGAUAAAUUGUAACGACCCGACUUAUAUCACCAUCGAUAUUAUCCCCACUUAGCCAUUGCGGUCGUCUGACAGUGUGGGAUUUUUUGUGGUAAACAGUCUGUUUUCUAGGAGGUCACCCAUCCUGAGACUACUCCAGCUCGAGCACACUUAACUCCAGAGUCCAAGUUAGCCCAAAAGGCCUCGGUGAUAAUAUUAGACGGAUCUAUACCUAUAUCCUAAUGUCACAAAUUCUCCUCUCAUUGUCAUAGGACCCACCUCAUUGGCAAAUCAUCUACCGACCCGAGAUGUUACAAUCCCACCACCUUAGAGGAGAGUCGUCAUCGUCUUUGAAAAUAUACAGCCCCAGAUCUCCAACGUUCCUUGCCCCUCGUGAGAUGAGUACCCGACGCAACUGUUACCUAUUCUUGGGCUAGACACCUUUUCAGCCUACUCUCCCACCCUUGACAGGUAACAUUUGUAACGACCCAACAUUUAUCACCACCGAUAUUGUCCCCACUUAGCUAUUGUUGUCAUCCGACAGUGUGGGGUUUUUGUGGACAACAGUCUACUUCACAGAUGAUCACCAUCCUGAGACUACUCCCACCCAAGCACGCUUCACUCCGGAGCCCUUUUGAACUCAGGAGCCAAGUUAGCCCAAAAGCCCACUGAAAACAUACAUUCUGUAUAUUAUAGAUUUGUAACUUGACUGGAAAUGUUAUAGCUCCAUUUCUUUGUAUGUUUUAACCAAUUUAAAUACAAUUACCCUUUAGCAAAAAAAAAAAAAAAAAAAAGUUACUCCCUUUGUUCCAAAUUAUAAGUAUAUUAUUCCCUUUGUUCCAUUUUUAGUUGUCCCAAAAUAUAUGUCCUUUUUCAGAUUUGAAUACAUAUUAAUUAAGUUAAAUUGUUUUUUUACUUAUACUACUCUUACUUUCGAAUUAGAGAAGAUUAUGUUUAAUAAGUGAAACCCAUUAAAACGAGAUAAAUUUGGAAGUAUAGUUAGUAGACAAACAAUAAAUGAUGUUCCCUUAAUAAGUAGAAUAUUCCAAAAGAUACUUAUAAUUUGAGACGGAGAGAGUAUCAUUUUUAACUCAAAACCAACCCAGUUCGUGCGCACCCAGUCCCUACUGGUUUUAAAAUAAGACAAACUUGGGCUCACACAUUCCAUUGGAAACAUAAGAGAACAUACAUAGGAGACACAUUCCAUGAAUUGCAAGUGAAUUACUAUUUCCAAUUUAAGCAUUUCUAGCAAGGGUCAAACAACUCAAUCAUUCAGGGUAACAGACAGUCACCAUUGUGGCUAGAAUUGUAGUAGGACUUGGUGACCCGUAUAUGAUAUAUCAAGAACUCAAGGUUGUAGUUCAUCAUUAAACUUGCAUUUUUAAUAAACUGAUCAUAUUGCAUGCUUGCAUGCGAAAUUCCUUGUGGCCGUGUUUUUUAAUUUAAAGAGUCUCAACAAAAGUUCUGUUAUCAGCUGGCCUGAAUGAGAAAUUCCCAUAGAAUGAUAAAUUCCCAAGGAAGAUAGUAUAUAUAGAUCAUACAAUUGAUCCUUAUUUGGUGUAUUAUUAUUUAUUUAUUUAUUUAAACUGAGAUAAUGGAGUAAACUAAACAUAAACUGAUCACUAAUUUGUUCACUCAAAUUCAAAUUAAAUUGUUAGAGAGAUAGACAAAAUUGAAGGUUUAGAAGAGUUUCCCUUUGGGAUUUCCACAUUAACUAAGUGUUUACAUCUAAAUCCACUUAUUUCCACAAAAUUGAUCCUUAUUUGCUGUAUUACUAUUAUUACUCCGUAUUUUUUUUAUUUGAGAUAAUAUAAUGGACUAAACCUAAGCAUCAAUUGAUCACUUUUUGUACACUCGAAUGAGUAUCUUGUGAAUUCAAAUUAAAUUGUUAGAGAGAUAUACAAAAUGAAGUUCCCUUAUGCAAUAGAAGAGUUUCCCUUUUGCGGGCACUUCCACAUUAAGUGUUUACAUCUAAAUCCACUUAUUGUGACUAACAGUUUUUUCCAUGCAUUUGUUUCACAGGACAGUUCUGAAUAACUUAGAAAGUCAGAAAUCGAAUUAAAAUUGAAAAACUUAUUGUUUAAAUUUAAGGUGGUUAAAAAUUAGUGCCAGGAGGCAAAAUAACGAUAAAUUAGCUAUUUUGGUCCAAAAACUUUCACCAAAUUUUCAAUCGAGUCCACAAAGUUUUAUCUGGUCAUUUUGGUCUCAAAUGAUUGGAGUAGCAUAUCUAUACUCUCUAUUAAAGUUGGACUUACCCUUAAGAAAAAUUUCUCUUUCCAAAUUAGAGAAAAUUUGGUGCUCCAAUUGAAAAGAAUUUAACAAAAAUUAAAAUUGAAAGGGUUAUUAUUAUAAAUUUAAAUCUAAUAUGGCUUAAAUAGCUUAGAUGACUACAUUUAAUAGCACUAUGGCCAUAUCUGUCUUUUUGCACAAAUAUACUAAUGGUUACCCAAUGAAUUUAAUGAAAAUAUGGUUAUAUAUAUAUAUACUUAUUAGCAAUAAAAAAAUAAAAUAGAAUUUAAAAAUACAAAAAUUAUAAUUUCGUACUUUACCAUCUUCCUUCCACUCACGUUCCUCAUACAUCAAAUUUAAUCUAUCAUCUCUUGCUUCUCCAAAAUAGUGGUUGGAAAAAAACACACACAACCUUCAUUACAAUAGAGCAAUAGACUAUGUGAAUAUAUGUCCGAAAUAGUAAAAUAUUGUGCCUUUUCAUUUUCUUUGAGUACAGGUGAAAAAUAAAAUUAUAUUGGCUUUAUAACCAUAUAACAUAGUUAUGUUGCCUAAUUAUACCAUGAUUUUCGGGAUUACUUUAAUCUUAUUUAUUAAUUAUACUCAAACAUGAGUAUUUGAAAACUGGCCUUCGGCCAACAGUUAGCCCAGGAUAUAAAUUUAAUAGUGUUUUCCGAAAUAAUGUAUAUUCUAGACAUAACAAAAACGCAACCCAAUAACUUGACAAUGAUGUGGGGUUUUUUUUUCAAUGCAAAUUUUAUUUAAUAAAAAAUCCAAGAAUUAUAAAAAGUUAGAGGACAAUUGCGCUACAUACUGCGCUGCAAGCCCUUUUAUUAUUAUUAUUUUGCAAAAGGCAUUAUUUAGGGGUUACAAAACGGUAUGGGGUACACCUAAAUAUAAAUUUUGACAUUUUUUUUCCUAAUUUUGUCGUGAAAGUAGGGACUGGGAGAAACAGAAGAUAUAAUUAUAUUUCGGUCGCACCAUUUUUUUUACUAAAACUAAAAACCGAAGUCCAGCAAAUUUUUUUGAUUAGCCAGCAGGUGGGCUUUGAUUGUAGCUUACUACAUCCCUCUUUAUAUUAAGUAUAGAUUUGUUUAAAUGAAAUAUUUAUUAUAGCAAAUAUAUACUUAGUAUAAAUUUCGUCGAUUUGCAUGUGCUCAAAGGUACCCCCCUUGNNNNNNNNNNNNNNNNNNNNNNNNNNNNNNNNNNNNNNNNNNNNNNNNNNNNNNNNNNNNNNNNNNNNNNNNNNNNNNNNNNNNNNNNNNNNNNNNNNNNNNNNNNNNNNNNNNNNNNNNNNNNNNNNNNNNNNNNNNNNNNNNNNNNNNNNNNNNNNNNNNNNNNNNNNNNNNNNNNNNNNNNNNNNNNNNNNNNNNNNNNNNNNNNNNNNNNNNNNNNNNNNNNNNNNNNNNNNNNNNNNNNNNNNNNNNNNNNNNNNNNNNNNNNNNNNNNNNNNNNNNNNNNNNNNNNNNNNNNNNNNNNNNNNNNNNNNNNNNNNNNNNNNNNNNNNNNNNNNNNNNNNNNNNNNNNNNNNNNNNNNNNNNNNNNNNNNNNNNNNNNNNNNNNNNNNNNNNNNNNNNNNNNNNNNNNNNNNNNNNNNNNNNNNNNNNNNNNNNNNNNNNNNNNNNNNNNNNNNNNNNNNNNNNNNNNNNNNNNNNNNNNNNNNNNNNNNNNNNNNNNNNNNNNNNNNNNNNNNNNNNNNNNNNNNNNNNNNNNNNNNNNNNNNNNNNNNNNNNNNNNNNNNNNNNNNNNNNNNNNNNNNNNNNNNNNNNNNNNNNNNNNNNNNNNNNNNNNNNNNNNNNNNNNNNNNNNNNNNNNNNNNNNNNNNNNNNNNNNNNNNNNNNNNNNNNNNNNNNNNNNNNNNNNNNNNNNNNNNNNNNNNNNNNNNNNNNNNNNNNNNNNNNNNNNNNNNNNNNNNNNNNNNNNNNNNNNNNNNNNNNNNNNNNNNNNNNNNNNNNNNNNNNNNNNNNNNNNNNNNNNNNNNNNNNNNNNNNNNNNNNNNNNNNNNNNNNNNNNNNNNNNNNNNNNNNNNNNNNNNNNNNNNNNNNNNNNNNNNNNNNNNNNNNNNNNNNNNNNNNNNNNNNNNNNNNNNNNNNNNNNNNNNNNNNNNNNNNNNNNNNNNNNNNNNNNNNNNNNNNNNNNNNNNNNNNNNNNNNNNNNNNNNNNNNNNNNNNNNNNNNNNNNNNNNNNNNNNNNNNNNNNNNNNNNNNNNNNNNNNNNNNNNNNNNNNNNNNNNNNNNNNNNNNNNNNNNNNNNNNNNNNNNNNNNNNNNNNNNNNNNNNNNNNNNNNNGCAAAUUUGUUUUAUUACCACAAGAUCCCUUGAUAUAAUUCGUUCGGUUAGCAGGGAGUCAAGAGUGUGGUCCCCCUCCUCCAACACCACACACCACCACCACAAAGUCGAGAUAUGAUGUUGUGGGUUCGAAAUACGUCCGCAACUGAUUGUUUGAUUAAAAGUUUUUCCUUAUCCUCGCUUACCAAUAAUAAUAAUAAAAACUAUGUUAUUUACUAUAUAUAUAUAAUAAGCUUCAAUAAGCACUGUAUAGUUUGCAAUCCAACAUUUUAUCAUAUGCUUUAACUUCAUCUUUUCCGUAAAAUUUUUGAGUGCAUUAGUUGUGGAAAGUUACUAUAUUUCUUUCUUGCUAAAUUUAUUUUAUAUUCAAAACUUAAGCCUAAAUACCAAACAAAAAUGAAUCAAAUCAUAUGAUUAAUCUAAUUCAUGGUUUGAAUAUUCAUAAGAUUAAUCAUACCAUGGUUUAUUGUCACAUUGAAGUAAAAAUAUAAUAAAAAAUUCAAUAAUUGCUAGACAUAAUAUAUAGCUCAAAAUCUCAGUCAAACCUUCAAAAAAAAAAAAAAAAUUAACGAUAAACCAUUUCAAAAAUUGUAAUCAACCAUAUUUACGAAAAACUAAAAUAAAAUUGGUGGUAUAAUAAAAUCAUAAAAAUGACAAUUAAGCCAAUGACAUACAAUAAGUCUUUAACAAAAUAUUUCCAAUAAACUACACCUAAUGACCUAAGAGCAUUCCCAAUGGUAGGUUUUAGCACAUUUUUAGUAAACUUUUAGUGAAAACACUUGCCAAUGGUAGCUUUUAACACACUUUUCAAGCAAAACACUUUUAACUCCUUGGCAAAUUUGCCAAAGAGUUAAAAGUGCCACGUAGGAAUCCAUCCGCCAUAAUUAGUGUGGUAUGGAUCCAUGCACCAACCUUUUUUUUUUUGCUAAAACCAUUGGAAACACCAAAAUUCCUUAUCCUAUGUGGCACCACUACAAGUGUUUUACCAUUGAGAAUGCUCUAAAUUAUAUUAUUUAAUAACAACCGUGUAUCGCACGAGACUUAUAACUAGUAUGGCUCAUGACUUAACUUGAGAGCAAAUUGCAAACGAAAUGAAAGUUUGCGGACCAAAUUGACCAGAUAAAACUUUGUGGACUGGAUUGAAAAUUUGGUGAAAGUUUGUGGACCAAAAUAGCUAAUUUAUCGCAAAAUAACUGCUAGUUCAGUUGAUUUGUUGUCCCUCUCAAAACAUUCCCACGAGUGAUAGGUUGUGAGUUUAAUUCCCUUCAAUAGUGUUUGUGCGAAUUUUUCAUAUAAUUCUUAGGUGAAUCAACCUUCGUUCCUGGUUCGAGAUUAGGAGGCUCAUGCUCUUAUGAUGAUAUCUGAAGUGUUCUCAUGAUGUAGCUAGGUGUUCUUCAGGGAAAGGAAAUCUCUAGUAGCAAAAUUGCUCGAGUUCCAAGGUGGCGUUAUGGACGUCUAGGUGGUUUGCAUCAGUAGCAUUCGGGCCUUGUCUUUGUAAGCCCAUUGGGCCCUGUCCUUGUAAGCCUUCGGGCCACAAUUAAUAUAUAAUUUUUUUUUUUUGAUAAUAAAAAUUUUAUUGAUAAGAAUUCAAAAAAUUAUACAAAGUUAGAGGACAAACGCGCUACAAAACUGCGCUUCAAGUCCUUUUUGAAUAGCAAAACUACCCACAUUCCAUUAAACUCACCCAGGUCACUUCUUCUUUUGCUAGUAUAAUCAAACAAUGAAUUGAUGUUAAUUUUUUUUCCCUAGUAAAAACUAAAAAUUGAAAAAAAUCUCCUAGUUCCUUCAACUAAUUCUCAUAUUGCUAGAUUUUUAAGGGUUCUCACUUAAAAUAAAAACUCCCAAUUAAAACUAUAUGCCAAAGACUUUCUAGUGAUGUUGCAAACAAAGGUUACCUGAAUAAAAAGGUCACCUGGAUAAACAAAGAAACUAUUUGUAUUACUAGUUUGUUUGUUUGGUUCAUUUGAACUUUUAGAUAUUAAUUAAGUUUGUUUAUUUGAAAGAUUUGAUUGCAAUCUUUAAGAUGUGCAAUGUAGGAAUAUUUUUCUUUAUACACCAACUUAAUUCUGGGAUUUUUGGCAGCUCAUUUUGUUGAGAAUAUUCAGAUUUUUUUUUAUCUGUAACUAGAUUGCCGAAAAGCAUAUUUGAUACUUCAAAAGCUUAAACACGAUUCUCUUUUUUUUUUUUUUUUUUUUUUUUUGUAACAGUUGACUUACUACAAAUAUAAAUAGUUACAUACUAUAAACAUCCAGUAUGAUUUCUUCAUCUAUCAUUUCUACAUCUUCUCUUAAUCUUUCUUCUCUCAGGUCUCUAGCUAGACCAGCCAGUUCAGGUACUUCUCUCGAUCUUUCUGUUAAUGAUUUUACUAUGCUUAUUUGAUUUGAUUGUGAAUGUGAAGAAAAUCAAAUUCCUAUGUUUUUUUUUAAUGUGCAGAAACUGACAGAUAACAAGUAUGGUGGGUUCUUUCAACAAUCAUCAGGGUCUCUUGAAACUGUUUCUGGUGCUCGUUGCAUUUUCCGGGUGGUGUUCACCAAUUAGUGGAAAUAAAGUACAUGUGGUUGUGAGAAAUGACAUUGGAAACAAUAUAUUGUUGAACCUCCAAUGCAGAAAUACGCAGGCGUACACUAGUGAACUUGGUUCAUACAAACUUGGUUACAAACAACUGGUUGAGUGGAGGUUUGAAGCCCAUACACAUAGAAUUUGGUGCUAUGCUUCCUGGCACUAUAACUUUUAUUUGAUGGAAGGCGGGUUCUAUGUAUACCGUGGUUUGGAAGAUGUAGAUAAAUGCCAUGAAAACUGCAUCCAGGAUGCAAAAUUGGAUGGUGUAUGGGGUUACACUAACAAUGGUCGGCCGUAUAUGAAAUAUAAAUGGUAUCGGCCACCAAAGGCUUUAGGGGAGGAAAUCAAAGUUUAAGUCUGGAUGGUUGUCAGAUCUUUAUUGAGUGAAGUUGGUAAUAAGCUAAAAUAAUAAAGGUGAUCGAGUAAAAUUAUAUGUAUUUCACUAGUUAUUUGCAUCGCUAACCAUGAAUUAAUAUGUCUAUCACUGAAAAAAUAGUUAGGGCAUAAUUAAGUCGCAUUCGCAGAUGUACAUUUCAAGCUAGUUGCAAAAUUAAGGCAAAUGAUACCUAAAUUCGUGAAAAUUAAACCUAAAUUCAAAUCUAAAUUGAAAUUUGGAUGUUAAAUCAAAGCUCCUAAAAUCAAUUGAUGCUCUUUAAAAUUCAUGCAUAACUAAAUCAAGAGCACAUGGAGCAAGAGCUUGUACAGUUGUUGUGGAUUCUGCCAUGGCACUUCUGCAUUCCCAAUGUACUAGGAGUUCAGCAACUGAGUGACAUUUUUUCACAUCCAUAAUGUACAAUUCACUCUUUAAGCACCUGCGCAGUAUUAAACACUGCACCUUCAAAGAUGGAGUCCAGAUAAAAAGUAAUUACAUUGCAUAUGCAUGUAUAACCCUAGUCAUACAUUCGUUACUGGAAAUAACCGAAACUCGUAAAUAAAAUUUGAAAUAACAUUAUUCGAUAAAUAAAACUUCAUCCUAAGUCCAUCCAUAAACAUCAUACUAAGUCCAUCCAUCCUAGAAGAAGUCUGAAAGAACAUGUCCUAAACCAAAAAGAAUUCAUAAACCAAAAAAGUACGGGAAAUUUAGACUUAACCCCCCAAAUAUUGGACUUGUUUUGAUUAAACCCCCACAUAUUUGAAAAUUUUGACUUUGCGCCCCUUUUUUUUUUGCACACAAGUAAGGAUUUGUAUUAAUGAACAAAAGAAUGUUACAUCAGAGAGAAUGAAAAGGACCAGUUACAAAAAUGCCCUAAGGCUUACAUCUAUUUGAAUCUGUAAUAGAUCCCAGCUGGACUUUCAAUGGCAGGGACAAAAUCCGGUUUAUGCGGCGACCAAAUUGAGAACCCAGGACCAAGAGUUGCACCCUUCUUUGAUGCAGCAUCUGCCCCAAAAUUAGCCUCCCUAUAGGAAUGAGACAACUUCCACUGUGUGAGCUUUGCAGUAGCACUUUUCCAUCUAGCCACCAAGUUGCACCCCCACCGUUAGCUUCCGUCCAAUUUUCCAUCAAACUCUAUUUUUGCUUCCCCAAAUGUCCUUCAUUCUCAUAUUAGCUAAACCCCCUUAUUUUUUGCAUUUUUUUUAUAUGACCCCCUACAAACAAAAAUAAGGAUUGAAAAUCAAAUAAAAAAGGGAAAUUUAGAUCUAAGAAAUAGAAGACACAUAAUGCAAAGAUUUACUUUCCCCAUUGUUCAUACACUUGUAGAGUGACCUUCCCCAUUGUUCAUUAUUGCGAUUGUUUCGAUUUCAAAUGACUAAUUGUAGAUCUAAGAAGAAGAAGAAGUCUUGAAGGAGAUGUUGUUGCUUCAAUUCAUUUAGAAGAGAUGUGAAGAAGAAGAAGAAGAAGAAGAAGGAGAUGUUGUUAUUUUGGUUUAAGUUUAUUUUUUCUAAGUUGAAAAGAUGUGAAGAAGAAGGAGAUGUGAAGAAGAUGAAGGAUUACUCCACAGUAAUUCUAACAAAGCUUUCUUAGAUCUAAAGAGUUAAGAUGGUGACAAUGUAGAAGAUAAGGUAAAAAAAAAAAAAAAAAGUAAAUUGAAGGUUUUAGCUAAUAAAAGAAUGAGGGGCAUUUGGGGAAGCAAAAAUAGAGUUUGGAUGGAAAACUAGACGGAAGCAAACGGUGGAGUGUAAAAUCAAAAUUUUUAAAUAUAUAGGGGUUUAAUCAAAACAGGUCCAAUAUCUGGGGGGUUAAGUCUAAAUUUCCCAAAAAGUACUGGACUAUCCAAAUGAAUAGAGAAAAACACAAGUUCAAAGACAAUCUCAAUGAAACCAAACAUAACUCAAGCAUUAGCCUUCUCGAGUUUAUCCACUAGCCAACUCAACCUCAUAUCUUCAUGUAUGAGUAGAAAGACAUCCCCCAUUUUAGUAUUGAUUGCUAAGUACUCCAGUCCUCGGACAUACAAAAGCCUAUCUUCACUAGUCACCUUUUUUAGUGCAGUUCCUAUGCGAUCCGUGUAAGUUUCAGGGGUAGAAAAGGAGUUAGACAGACAUUGGACAGCUUCCAUGAUUCCUUUGGCAUAGUUUGAAUCUUGCGCAAAGCGAAAUUUCUUACGCUUACAUGGCAAUUGGACAUUCGCCCGAGGCGGAAGCUCAACCCUACCAGGUCCAUUGCUACUCUCACCUUGGUUGCCAGUAUUUGUUGUUGCUUGUGUUGCCCCUUCGGAUUGUCCACCAUCCACAACAAUAACUUCAACUUCUUCUUCCUCUUCUUCGUCUUCCCCUAAACAAACUGAUACAUACAAAAGUGAAUACUAUCCUUCAAAAUUAUAAUUAAACAAAUUAAUAUUUAGUUAUCAUACCAAGUACGAUAGGAGACUCUUCUCCACCAUUGUUACCACCACCAUUUGCGACCUCAUUACCAACAAGGAUACUCAUAGCAUCAUAGUAUGGGAAUGACUUUCCUUGGACCUUCUUUGCUUUGGGAUGAGCCUACACAUUUUACAUCAAUUUAAUGAAUUUGUUGACAUAGUUAACAUGUAUGUUAUAAUAAAUCAAUUGAAACUACAUCUUACCUGAAGAAAACGCGCAAAUGCAUCAGGAUCCGCAUUAACUACCUGAUUCUUUUCUUUAUCCCACUCGAAACCAAACCCGCUAGCAUCUAGUGGUGCUUUAACAACAGAGUAGUCAUUUUUCAAUGUCUUAUACUUGGACCUUACAUUCUCAUGAUCAAUAUUCAUACCUAGGGCAUUGUUUACAGCUGUAGCAGCUGCUGUCAUAGAAUCCUUCUUGAUUGCAUUUUCAGCUUUCUUACCAUCCCCAGCAACCUCUUCAAGCAAGGUAGAUAUCAUGAUCUGAGUCAUUCUUGUCGUCCACCUUUGAUGCGUUUUGGAUGGUUGUUGUGCUAUUGGUGGUGUGUAGUUCUGAGGUGGAAAGUAAGGAUCCAUCGGUGGUUGGGACUGAUUGUUCUUCUUUUACUUUCCCUUGCCAGUCUUAAAUAAUCCAGACGACAUCGCACCUAAUCAACCAAUACAUAUCAUAUAAGAAUUGUUAAACAUGUAGCAUUAAUGUAAUAAAAUCAUCUCCAAAAUGUAUAUUAUGGUCACAUCAUCUUAAACAUCAUCAUGAUAAUCCAAGCUUGCAUACUAGAACAAAUUGUAAUUAUCAAUAAAAGCUAUCACAAAUAUCAAAUCGCACUCAUCAAUAAGAUUCAAAUUGUACUUCAAUAAUAAUCAACUUGGUACUUAUAUAAUAUCAAAUUGUACUUAUCAAUAAAUAGGUGAUAUUAGGCUGGCAAUAUGACCUGAAACCAGCCAACCUGACCUAAAACCCACGUGCCAAUAAUGAGUCUAGGUAAUGCAUUUAUGGGUUUCGGGUCUAAUUUGCGUUAACCCACAAAACCUGUUAUGUUAAUGGGUGGGUUUCAGAUUUAGCUUUUAUACUCAUGGGUAAAUCUGCAAACCUGUUUAAUAUUUUUUUUUUUUUAUUUUUAUUAGUGUGGUCCAUACAUCAAUAGAUCACUAGAAAAUAACUUAAGUAAUAUAAAUGUAUACAGGUCCUAACCAUAAUUGGAUAUCUGGUGCCAAAUCGUCGUUUCUUUCCUUAUUUUUUUGAUAAUGGAGUUGGCUAUCUUUAAUGCAUCAAUUGUACAAGUUCGUGAAGAUGGUUGUGGACGCAAUAUACUCCAUACUUCAUUUCUUCUACAGUUCUACAAUUCUACUCCACUAUUUCAAAUCCUAAUUAAAACACUUGUACAGAUCCCACAAGUGGCUAAUUAAGUAAAAGUAGUUAUAAGAGAGAUUUAGACAUACCCCCCAGAAAAGUUUGCACUCUUGAGAUACCCCUCAGAUUGACCCCUCAGAUUGAANNNNNNNNNNNNNNNNNNNNNNNNNNNNNNNNNNNNNNNNNNNNNNNNNNNNNNNNNNNNNNNNNNNNNNNNNNNNNNNNNNNNNNNNNNNNNNNNNNNNUCAUUGACCAGUUUUUCUUUCAUAUUGACAAAAAUAUCCUUCAUCAUAAAAAUAACAUGUCACCCAUUAUUAAUUGAAUUAAUCUCCACCACCCAAAAGCUAGAUCUAUAAUUUGCCAUCCAAAAUCGAUGGUCUAGAUCAUAACUUCCUUCUCUAAAUAACCACCACCUCCAUCCUUAACUACCACCACCCACCACCACCAUCUCCAAUUACCUUAACUUCACCACUUCCACAACCCAACCGCCGCCACUAUAUAAACUCUAAACACUCCAUUACCAACACCACCACUACCACCAACCAUAUAUACCUCUAUUACCACCAUCUUCAAAAUCCCACCACCACUAUCUCACACAAUCACACUCCACCACCAUUAAUUUUUAAACCAUAUCAUUAACAUCAUCUCACUUUCUUCACAUUCCAUCAUCAUUACCUUAAUCUUCACACCCAUUACUUUUUCUUUCAAACCCAAAUCCAAUCUCCACCAUUUUCUUCAUCACAAUUUCAACAUAUUUUAAUUGUUUUGAAAGACAAAGUUCACCAAUUACACAAAUGGUGGUGGUUUUAGUAUGCUAAUGGUGGAGGUGAAUGAGUGGAGAUGGUGGUGGUGGGUUGUGUGUUAGGGAUUGUGGGGUUUGGGGUUAGAUAUGGUGGAUGUUUAAUAAUUAUUAAUUAAUGAGAUUAAAUCUAGGUUGAGGGGUAUUUUAGUCUUAAAACUUUAAAAAUUGGUUAGACCAUGGUCAACGACUUGGUUGACCGGUGAAAUGAGAAAAUAAGGGGUAUCUCUAAUGAUUUUCAAAUCUGGGGGGUAUCUCAAAGAGUGCAAACUUUUUGGGGGCGUAUCUCUAAAUCCCCUAAUUAUAAACUUAUACUCCCUCCAUCCCAAAUUAUAAGUACGUUUUGGAAUAUUCUACUUAUUAAGGGAACAUCAUUUAUUAUUUGUCUACUACUUAUACUUCCAAAUUUACCCCUAUUUAAUGGGUUCCACUUAUUAAACAUAGUCUCUAAUUAUUUUUAUUAGAAUAUUUACUCUAAUUCCAAAACAAGUGUAGUAUAUAGGGAUGCUCAACUUGCCCCGUGACCCGUUCCCCGCCCCAUUUUUUAUCUCCCCCCCCACCAUAUUUUCCCCACCCCGUGCCCCGUUCCCCACAGCGCAUCCCCGCCCCGUAUCCCUGCCCAUUGCAUUUUCAAAUGAUUGUGUUAUUUGUUAAUUGUUCUCAAAUUAGUAUCGAGCGAUAGAUUUUCUUACUUUAGAGGAACAAUCACUCACAUAUUUUCAUCUCAAGUUCCAAACAGUUUAAUACAAUAAAAGUGGUCAAUAUAUGCAUUCAUAUUUUGCUUUUUAAAAAUGAUGAUAUUAAUAUUCCUGCCAUGGAGUAUAAGCAUAAUUAAUAUUAUCAAUAAAUAAUAAGGAUCAUGAAUCACGUAAUUAAUCACUAACAAAUACACAUACCUUGUCCAUAGCCAUUGAUGAUCCGAGAAGCUGCACAAGAUCUAGGUUUCACUCUCCUUGCCUCUUAAACCCUAAUAUGUGUUGUAAUAGUAAGUGUAUGAGGAUGGAGAUCAUACACCAAUUUAUAGAGGUGGAGAGAGGACCUAAAUCUACAAACCUAAGCCCAUUAGAUCUAGACCGUCCAUCAUAGUUAAGAUCUACGGUAGAUAUGACUUCCACAUAACCUAUUACUAAUUAGCUUAUUUCUAUGUUAAACCAAGGUUAAAGGUACAUGGACAACAUUAUGGGUUGGGCUUUAUAUGUGGAAAUUCCAACAGUCUCCCACUUGGUCCAUAGUAAAAUCUCACAUACGGUUUAAUGUAGAAUACAUUAGGCGCGCAAUAAGAGCUAAAUUAGUUUCCGAAAUGGUUAUCAUAAUACCGUCAUUAAUUAAACCACUAAUAUGAGUCAUGGCGGUUCCACAUCGCGUAAAUGACAUGGUUCCUUUCAUGUACUACGAUAUCAACAAUUUAAUUAACUAGGUCUAUAAGUGGAAGUAACAAUAAUGGUCCAGUAAUGUCUUCGUAAAAGACUAUUUAUGUCAACAAUUAUCCAUUCACAUACAUGUACAUAAACAAUGGAAAACAGAAAAUUCAGAACUUAAUCAAUAGUAAUGAGCUCAAAAUAAUGUCAAAUAAUAAGCACUAAGUAAUCCACAAAUCAUUAAGUUAUAGGUUACAUUCAAAACCCAACUUGUUAACAUGAUGCUAGAAUAUCAUUAUUUCUACCUCUUAAGUUAGUGGAUUUACUAACACGUGUACUAAUGUGUUCCAUUGACACUCAUUUGUUCUAAACUUAAGCCAUAAUCAAUAGGUAUUUUAUAUCAUGUGGUAAACAUUAGAAUACCUAUCAUUCUUACAAAGGCAUAUAGUUGCAACAUUAUUACAAUAAAAUUCAAACGACUUAGAAAUUAAUAACUCUAAGACAUGAUAUAAAGUUUUGCAACUAUACAACAUUGCAUGUAGUUAUUUUACAACAUGCUACAAAUUCGGCUUCUAUGGUGGGUGAAACAAUAAUGUUUUAUCGACUAUCCAUACACCCAUUAAAUUCUGAAUUUGUAAAACCAAUCACCUCAAGGUGAUUAAAUCUCUUAAAAUAUGAGCAUACGGUUUCUCUUUCAUUCGUUCUUGUUCCAAUUCAUUCAUAGGACCUUGAUUUAGUUCAAAUAUUCCCCCUUUGAAUUGGAACAUCAUUACAAUUAUGCCUUAACACAUUAAAUCUAUCCAAAACUUUAUUAAUGAAAUCUUUCUGAGACGUUCCAACAAUUACUGUGAUCAAUCCGAAAUAUUUUUAUUUCUAUCACAUAUGACGCAUCAUCAUAACUUUCAUUGCGAAGUGUUUAGACAGAAAAAAUGUUUACAUAAAUGAAAAUCACUGCUGCGAAACAAUAAAUCAUCAACAUACAUAAUCAAAAUAAUAAACGUACUCCCACUGAACUUUGGGUAUGUACAUUAAACCCAAAGGUUUGAUACGAUUAAUCAUUAGGUACCAUUUUCGAGAAGCUUGUUUUAAGUCUGUAUAUUGACUUCUUUAACAAAAUAGAUUAUGUGUUCUUGUCCUUCCUUUAUGAAGUUGUGUGGCUAAUUAAACCAUGUAGACUUUAUCCAAACUUUCAUUCAAAAUAUCAUUUUCACAUUUAUUUGGUGUAACUCUAAAUCGAAAUGAGUCACCAAUGCCAUAAUGAUUCUAAGAUAAUUCUUCUUUAACACAUAAGUGAAGGUUUCACGCACGAGAAAGUAAUGCCACCAUAUUGAGUAAACUGUUUGGAUACAAGUCUUGUUUUAUGGCAUUCAAUAGAACCUUUUGAGUCAAUUCUACUAACCCCAGACUUAGUUAAAAUCCACAUUUAAUUUAUCUCUUCAUUCAUGGCAUGAAUCUUUUUAUCAGAAUUACUAUAAGUAAUGGCUUGACUUUAUGUUUAUUGUUGUUAAGCGGUGCAACAACAUGAGAAAAACCAGAAGUAACAAUAAUAUCAUUACAAAAAAAAAAAAAAAAAUUGAGGUAACAAAAUUGGUACCCUAACUUCUUUAAUGAUUACCUCUUUGAUAUGAUCACUCCCACUGAUUUUGCCAUUCAUAAUGAUCAAUAAUUUCCAGUUUCAAUAAUUCUAGUGGUAUGGUUAGGAUAGUAAAAUCUAUACCCUUUAGACUUUUCUAGAUAAACCCUAAAUGUGUAAAUGUCUUAAACUAGGUUUCCAUCUUUUCCACAUUUUAAAAGAUGUUUUUGUAACUGCCUUAAUAGGAACCCAAUUCAAUAUAUACACUUCGGUUUAUAAAGUAUACAUCCACAAUGAUAUGGGUAAAUUAGAAUUACACAUCAUACUUCAAACCAUAUUCAUAAGGGUUUGAUUAUGCCUUUGAGCUACACCAUUCUGUCAUGGAAAACCAGACAUUGUGUAUUAGGCACAAAUUCCUAACCGUUCUAGAAGUUUGGCAACCGGGAUGUUGUCCCGUGUCAUAGAUCAUACUUUCCAAGAAAUUCACUACCUCUAUCAAAAUGUAUAGUUUCCACCUUUCUAUUUAAUUGUCUCUUAACUUCAGUUAUGUAAAUUUCAAUAACAUUUACAUAUGAGACUUAUUAUGCUAUAGAUAGAUACAAUAACGAGAAAAAAAUCAUCAAUAAAGGUAAUAAAAUACUUUUCUCCACCAAAAGAUGGAACAUCAAAAGUUCACAUAUGUCUAUUUGAAUUAUUUCAAGAAGCGUACUUCCUAUAGCUCUUCUUAGUGUGUUUGUUUUGCUUGACUUAAUGCAUUCCACACGCACACACACCCACACACCAAAAAUAGUAAAGUUAAGGUUCGGGAAAACCCCUUUUUUUACUAGUCUACUUUUCAUCUAGAUGUAUAAUCCAGUCUUUUAUGCCAUAAUAAAGAUAAACAUUAAUCAUAAUCAAUUCACUAAGGGUUAGGAAUACCAAUUAAGUUUGAUCGAACCAUACUAAAACCAAAAGCUUACCUUUUAUAUUAAACAAACGCCAUAUUCACAUAAAUGGCAUUGGCACACACAUAGUGUAUAUCCAAACACAAUUAGAGAAUUGUUCAUUCAACUUCUUGAAACAUGAAUUAAGCUUGAGUGACAUGAUUAUAAUGUUGUUUAAGCCUUGCCUAUACUUGAACUAGUAGUCUCGCCAUUUAAUUCACAUUCCACUUGUCUUUAAUAGUGUAAUAGUGAAACUGAACAUACUAUGUAGGCAAGAAAUUUAGAACAAAUUGGAGGACAAAGUAAUCAUCCACUAACAUGUCUAAAUUCUUUAAUUUAACAACUAAAUUGGAAAACUCAAGGAUACAAUCAUGCAUACUAUGAGUACUAUGAAUAGUAAUCAGUUCAACAAUUAACUUUUCAGCUAGCAGUGCGAAAAUGAUUCUUAAUAUUAUUCAUCAACAAUUAUUCACAUAAACAUUGAGUUUAAUUUGCAUGUUCAAUCUAGUUCAUGCAUAAUGCAUAAUUUUCUCCUUUUUACUGCUUUUAUAAAAUAACAGUAGAUUCAACAAUAAGGAAAUAUAUGCCAAGAUCUAGAACUCCCACUAAAAUCAACUAGACUUAUUCAUUCUAGUUCAUUAGUUUUAUUAAGGAUAAAACAUACAAAAUAUACGAAAUACAAGAAUAAUAGAACGAGAAAAAUAAACAUGCUCACAACAUUAGUCAACACAUUAAUUAAACAAUAUGACUAAGAUUUUUAGUAAUACUAUAAAUGGGUGACAUAUCACAUGAUCAAAAUAAGCAUGGUAUCUGUGGAUAUCGUACACUCAUUUAAUCACAAAUACGUGCAACCCCUUAAUUUUAUUCAAUCUAACAUAUGCCUGAUCUACCUGUGGGUAGCUCAAUAAUGCAAGUGAAUAAAUAGGCAAUAAGGUACUUAGUCUAACAUUCAACACAAUAUUUAGUUCACUGUGGUGAAAACCAAAUCAUAAUAUAAAUGGUCAAUGAAGUUUUAAUAUUCAUUAAACAUAUUGGAAUCACUGCAGUAGAUACCAAUAGAAAACUUGAUAUGAAUAUAAAACAGAAAACAAUGUCCAUAAUCGUAAUUGGUUCACUAUGGUAAUACCAAAUCAUGAUGAUAUGAACCUUAAGGGAAUAAACAUGCAGCUGAAUAAAUGCUACAAGAUCAAAAUAUCAUAAUGCAUCUUAAUCAUAAGAAGUGCACAAUUUAAUAAAUUCAACUAGGGCAUAUGCAUAAUAUGGGUGAAAACCAAGAAUUAUCAUAAGGCAUACAAGUCUGAAUUAGACAUGGAAGCAACUAACAUUAACCUACUGUACAUAUGUGACUAAUAUAUGACAGAGACAUGAAAGUAAAAUACAUCACAAUAUAAACUAGCACAAAAUGUCUAACUGUAAGACCCAAACAUAUUAACUAUGGGUUGUGACUGUAAGGCUUGUGCAAACAUUAAUUAGAAAAUCUUGUGCAAACAGUAAUUGAUAGAAAAUACCAAAGUACCAAAACAUUAAUGGACAAUCUUCACGUCUAAACUAUAAUUGGUUCAAUUUUACUUGAUGGUAUAUUCAUGAGAAUAAUAUUCAUAAACAUACUUGGAUUCACUGUGGUGAAUACCAAUAAAACUUAAUAUGAAUGUUGCAUACAAAGACAAUAUAUAUACAUUGCAUGAUCAUGGAAACAAUGGAUGCAAGAACAAUACUCUGAACCACACGUCCCAUUGACUCAUUAUAUGAUUUCGGUAUUUUGUCAGGUUACCGUAAUGACAUAUUCUUCGUGAAGAGGUAAAUCACAGUAAUAUGGUUCACAACUUAUUGUAUAGAACAUUGAAUUGUUGAAUUUAAUUAUUGGACCUAAAACAUGCACCUAAGUAUGGGCUAUAAUAUUAAGGCCCAAAGGUUAAACAAAUUAUGAUUGGAAAACUAAGCAGUAUUAUGGGCUGUAACAUUAAGGCCCAAAGGUUAAUAAUACAUAACAAUUAAUUUUCUAACGGACUCAACAAAUACAAUAAUACAUAAUACAUAAUGGGCUAAGCAUUAAGGCCCACAUGCUAAUAUCGUCGUCUUCUACGAGAUGAACAGGAAACAUGAGCUAAUUGUUACAUGUUGUGUCGUACUGUAUGAUUGUAUGAAUAGCUAGUUUAAACGUGAACCAUUAGGAGCAAUUAUAGUAGUUAGGACAGAAAGAAACUUUGUUCUAAUCUUAAUAUUUAAUUCAAUUAAUCAUAACAUCAUGCAUGGAUAAUAAUCAUACUCAUGCAUACAAAAAUACAAUUAAUAUCCCUUAAUAUUAGCAUACAAUUAAUACUCAUAACUUGUUACUGAAUUUGUAUUGAGAAUCAUUAAUUAAUGUUUUAGAUGUACUAUGCAUAUCAGCAAAUGCCCACAGUAUAGCUUAUUAUUAAGAACAAAAACAAGCUUUAUUCUAAUUCUUAUUACUGUAUUUGAUUCUAGUUAAUCAUACAUCAUGCAUAUUACUGCCAAUCACUAGAGAGUAGAGACGAAACGUGUAGCACCAGCAUAAAACCCAUUAGCCCACAUACACAAUAUUAAUGAACAGUAAUUAACAUAAAGCUACUAGCCAUGAAGAACAAAUUAUUGCUGCUGAUCUAAUAAUACAUAUGGAUAAUGACGUGAUGUUACCCAUAGGUCCCAUCCAUUAAAGAAGAUGCGUACAUAUGUUGAUAUGAAUCAUAUGAUCAAUAACAUGAUUCAACUACAAUUGAUAUGAUUCUCAAAUAUACUAAGCAAGUUUGUAAUUAUGAUAAAAUACUAUGUACUUUAGGCGGAAUCAUAAAAUAGUAUUAAUCUAAACGAUGAUGUUAGAAUUAAAAACAUUAUUCAUAUUGGCGACUGAUACCACAUAUAAGCAUAAUUAAUAUUAUCAAUAAACAAUAAGGAUCAUGAAUCACGUAAUUAAUCACUAACAAAUACACAUACCUUGUCCAUAGCCAUUGAUGAUCCGAGAAGCUGCACAAGAUCUAGGUUUCACUCUCCUUGCCUCUUAAACCCUAAUAUGUGUUGUAAUAGUAAGUGUAUGAGGAUGGAGAUCAUACACCAAUUUAUAGAGGUGGAGAGAGGACAUAAAUCUACAAACCUAAGCCCAUUAGAUGUAGACCGUCCAUCAUAGUUAAGAUCUACGGUAGAUAUGACUUCCACAUAACCUAUUACUAAUUAGCUUAUUUCUAUGUUAAACCAAGGUUAAAGGUACAUGGACCACAUUAUGGGUUGGGCUUUAUAUGUGGAAAUUCCAACAUGGAGAUCAUCACAUCCAAAAUUUAGUUGGAUUAAAACAUUCUUCCUCACUUAGUUUCAAUCAUUUUCCAUACAGUUUUAUUUUUGUUGUCGUUGUUGUUGUUGUUUUUGUUUCGGACUUUGGAUGUAAUGACUUUAAAGCUAAUAGAGUUCAGCAGCAACUUCCAGGUUUACUGACCCUGUCACUAGGUAAUAAUUACAUGUAUUAGCAGCAACUUACAGCAACAUUACAUGUUUUCUACUUUUUUUUAGAGUAAUAAUUACAGUAUUACUUGCUGGAACAGUAAUUUUUUACCAAAUCACUAAACUUGUUACACUCCUAUAUAUAUUCAUUGCAGAAUCUGUCAAAUAUUUUACCAAAUCACUAAACUUGUUACACUCCUAUAUAUAUUCAUUGCAGAAUCUGUCAAAUAUUUUACUUGUUGUUCAAGCACAAGAUUACCAAGAUUGUGUUUCCUUGUUUGUAUUAAUCAUAUUUUCCCCGUCCCCGCCCCGCCCCCGACCUGUACAGGGCAGGGAUGGGGUGAAAUUUCUUAAGCCAACCGUUCCCCGCCCCGCAUAAGAACGGGGAUUAUUUGGCCCCGCCCCGCCCCAACCACGCACACUGUUCCCCUGCCCCGUCCUGCCCCGCCCCAAUCAGCACCCCUAGUAGUAUAGGUAAAAGAACAAUUUAACUUAAUUAAUAUGUAUUCAAAUAUAAAAACGGACAUAUAUUUUGGGACAACUAAAAAUGGAAUAAGGUACUUAUAAUUUGGGACGGAGUGAGUAUUCAAUUUUGUUUUGGAACAAUUAAUGAUUUAAUGGGUAGAUUUAUUUUUUUCUUAAUUUAUAUAAGUAUGUCUGACAGGUCGGGUUCAGGUUUACUAGCAAGGCUGCAAAACAAUGGGUUGGGUUCAGGUUUGAAAAUAUAUACCCAUUAAUGUUGUAAGCUCUCUUUCCUUGAUGAGCUCAGCUGGGUCCUUCAACUGCUUCAACGGUAGUACCUGCAAUGACCACCGGACAAUGACCGGUGGAUAAAGCUCCAACGAUCAAGUCAGUAAGCGGCUAGGUUUAGAGAAUAGGUUUUUGCAAAGAAUGAAUAGUUACCUCUAGCGAACCCUAACGUGAUCCUUUUAUAGUAAUAUUCACCGCCUUCCUUGAACCGUUGGAUCCUCCUUUGCAUCCUAUGGUUCUCUUAUCUCCUACGUGUUUCAUUCUCCAUCACAUAAUAUAAAGUGAAUGCUUGACAGCCUGACAUCACGUGCUCUAUCCGUGAUACUCUAGAAUGUUCUGAACUCCGAUUGGGUACUUCCCAGUUUACUCUCCCUAUCUAGCUCCUGUGUCCUCCAUACUCCAUAUAACAUGGUUUGGUACUUACAAAUGUAACAGGUUGCGUUUGGGUUUAGGCUCCCUGCCAACCCAUUAGACACGACCUGAAACUUAUCCAGCCCAACCCGAUUGCCACUCCUAGGUAAUAUUACAAUAAGUCAAAGAUUGAUAUUUCCAAUUUAACCAACUAGGCCCAAACCCAAUGUUUUAGGGCCACACCGAUAUAUCUAUUGUUAGAUUUGGUCCAAAACUCCAGUAAAUGAUUUCCAGUUCUACAUGAAAUUUGCAUUCUUAUGAACUUAACUUAUAUAGUAUGAUGCAUAUACUUUACCACAAAAUUAUUACAUCCAUCAUCCAUGGUAUGCAAAUUCAUCGCAGACUCGCAGUGUUUUUAAUUUUCUAUGACUAAGUAUAUUAUUACGUGUAUAUACACAAGCAAGCCUUUUUGCCCAUGUAAUAAAUAGACUUUUAGAUGUGGCCCAUUUGUUUAUUGUGAAAUUACAAAUUUAGUAUUUAAUUAAGUUGUGCCCCAUUUAUUAACAUCUAUUAUAUAUAUAUUUUUUUAACCAAAAAUAAAUUUUAUUGAUAAAAGAAAAAUUACACAAAGCUAGAGGACAAGCGCGUUACAAACUGCGCUACAAGCCCUUUUUUUUUUCUUUGAUAAAAACCAACCUUAUAUUAAGUAAUGCAAAUAUGUUCAACAAACAAAUUACAAAUGGCUGAAAUAGGUACAUUUCUAAAUUGAUUUUUUACCCAGCCAGCAAACUAUGGGCAUCAAUAUUGACGAUCUUUAUACACCAAAUAAAAUUAACAAAAUGAAUUUUUUUAUAAAAGACACAAUAAAGACCCAAAAAUUGUCUUCCUCGACCAACAAAUAUUAUCACUACUCUUGGAAAUCACAACAUCAAUUACAACUUUAAAAUCUCCUUCAAAUAGAAUAUCUUUAAUGUUGCAUUUCAUUGCAACCAUCCCCGCGCAUUCAGCUGCUACAACUUCAGCAGCUUCAGUGUAACGCCCCGGGAUUUCGUCAUCGCUCAUCCCGGUGCGUCGAGCACCAUACCGCUCGUUAAUGUCAAUAUUGUCCCCCUUUAUUCACUGCGGCUAUCCAGCAGUAGAGGGUUUUGGAUCAGGGUCCACCCAUGUGGUUUACCCCACAAGGCCUUGACAUUAGUUAGAGUAUGGUUAAGCUCUUUAUACUACCAAUACAACCAUUUCUUUGGUAAUGUGGGACUAACACCAACUUAUGGGUGUUACAUUCAGCAUUAGUAGUUCUAAAGUUUCUAGAAACACACGCCAACACAAUACCAUAUCCAUCUCUAACAAUAAUACUAACAGUUGCAUGACAUGUCGAUCUUCCUGUCAAAACCCGCAUCAAAGUUAACUUUAAAGUAUCGUGCAACAUGUGUUCAACCUACACAACUGUAUUGGUUCCAGUAAUAAUAUAUAACUUGUCCCUUGUCACACAAAUAUCAUUGUUUCUUUAAACUCCAAGCAUAUUUAGUUUUAUGAAAAAUAUUAUCAUACGAACAAGGAACUUUAGAAAAAAUACAUCCAUUCUUAUGCAAACCAUAUAUGAAAGAGAAGAUAUAUAGCAUAUCUAUAAUCUAUUAUACUCUAUUAAAACAGAAAGCAACUCUAAGAAAAUAUCUCUUCAAUUAGGCUAUCAAUUAGAUUGAAAAUAAGUUCAAUUAAGUUUGGUUAUAUUGUAACAAGUCAUUUGACCGGUGUAAUGCAUUGAUUAUAUAUAUAUAUAUAUAUAUAUAUAUAUUAGAGUUGUUAUUAAAAAAAAAAAAAAUUCGUGUUCCAUAAUUAUAAUCGGCUUAGUUUAUUUAUAUAAUAUUACAGAACUUAUAUACGAAAAUGUCCAUAAAAAAUAUUUUUCUCUAAAAUUACAUACAAUGAUCAUAAUAAUUAAUAUAAAAAAAAUUGGUAAAUAAUAAUUUUUUUUGGUACAAGUAUUAGAGAUAAUAUAUAAAAACACCUAUAAAAAACCACUUCCCUCAAAAGUUCACUAUCCAAUUCUUACUAAUUAAAUAUUUUCAACAAAACAUUUUGCGACGGGUCUCAAAAUACAAAUAAAUACCCAUUAAAAGGUUGUCCCUUUAAAAGAUCAUGAAUUGAUAACAAAGAAUAGUAAUUUGAUUUUAUUUCCAAAAUAAUACUAGAAAAUGAUCAUAAAAAUUUUCUUUAAAUAAAAUAAAGUGAUAGCAAUAAUUAUAAUAACAGUUUUAUUUUGUAAGAAACAACAAAAUAGUUUUGCGAUAGACCUAAAAUAUUAUACAUAAAAACACCCAUAAAAAACAUCUCCCCUCGUAAGAGCAUCAUCCAAUUCUUAUUAAUCAAAUAUUUUUAACAAAAAAAAAAAAAAAAAACUGUAAAUGACCUCAAAAAAAAAAAAAAGUUCUCCAUCAAAAGAUUCUUCCUUAAAAAAAAUCAUAAAUUGGUAACAUAGUUCACAAGAUUAUUAAUUCAAUUUGAUUCUCCAAAAUUUUAUUAAUUUUUAUACAAAACCACUUACAUUUUUGGAAACAUAUCUGAAAAUCCAAGAAUAGGAAUUUAAUUUUAUUUUACAAAAUAUCAUUUUUUUAAAAAAAUCACUAACAUUUUUUGUGUCAGGUCUCAAAAUAAUACAAAAAAUGCCCAUAAAAACUACCUUCUUCCAAAAUAAGAUAAAUUGACCACAAUAAUUAUUAAGAUUUUUUUUUUCAUAAAAAAAAAAAUAAAUAAAUAAAAACCGUCGCCGCCGCCAUCUCCCAUCUGCUUUGUCAUCUUCCCGAUGACAACCGUCGCCGCCGCCAUCUCCUCCCCUCCAUGACCACCACCCCCUAACCCCUCCCAUUACUGCCUCUCUCUCCCACUGCCUAUUUUACCCCGCCAACCUCUCCGGCCUUGUUUCUCUCUCCUCCCACCCAAAACCACCACCAUCACCAUCUCUUUUCACCGCCAUCAACACCCCCUCCAACCACCACGGCCUCCUCCAACCCCCCACCACCACCACUUCUCCCUCACCAUAUGCUGCCACCAUUUUACUUGAGUUAGAUCGACGAUUUUGAUCUACGACUCCAUCUCUCCCAAUUCCACAUAAAUCUGGCUCUGUACUUUGAGCUGAGCCAAACCAGCAGCCAGACCAGCUGAACCAGCCGAACCAGCAGCCAGACCAGCUGAACCAGCCGAACCAGCAGCCAGACCAGCCAUAUCAGCCGAACCAGCAGCCAGACCAGCCAUACCAGCCGAACCAGUAGCCAGAUCAGUCGUUAAAGCCAUCUAAGCCAUAUAAGCCGAGUCAAUAGCCUGACGGGCCGAGCCGAUACAUCUAGCCAAGCCAGCCGAACCAGCAGCUUAAGCCAGUCAGCCAGACCAGCUGAACCAGCAGCCAGACCAGCAGUUCAAGCCAGCCAAGCCAAGCCAAGCCAAAAAAAAAAAAAUUGGCUUGCUUGAUGGAGAGUAUCCAUUGUCCAUUUCGAAAUUUUGAUGGAUGCACCAAUGGACCGUGUGGAAAUGGAUACAAAUCUUCGUACAUCUCAACGCAUGUUAAGAAAGAUCACUUGAAGAGGGUUAAUGACAUCGACAGGCUGAGAGAUGCGAUCAAAGUUGAUAUAGGUUUAUUUUCGUCGCUUGACAAUACUUUGAAGAGGAUGAACAAAUGGAUGUGUGGUGAUUGUUUUGGUAUCCAUGCAUCGACCAUAAAAUGUAAACAUCCGGAUGAUGCAGUCAUCAAACCACCUGCGCGAAAGGAGACCGGUGAGUUAGAGUGUGCAAUUGUAGGUAUACAACCACCACAGCCUGUGCAUGUUGAUAAUCCACCCGCACUUACAGCAGGAGGGGACACUGGUAUCGAUACUCACCUUUCUAUUGUUGCACCUUCUUUAGAUGAGAUAUCACUUGAUCGUAUUUUCUGUAGACCUUUUCGCACAGUGAAAAGUAUUCCUCGUCCUUGUCGAUUAGCAUUUUCAUGUGCAUUGAAGUCAGUCUCGUAUGAGGUUACUGCAGACCCCAUGUCGACAGGGCCAUGGGUUAGAUUGCUCCUGCUUCCCUAUUGCACAUUGCAAGUGUUCCAUCCGUAGAAUCGCCAAGAGCGUCGUUCUGGUGCUCGGAAAUAUCUCCAGCAGAAUCAGAUUCUGCAAGCUCUCUCUAUUUGGAACGAGCCUGGGGGUAUAUUUCGUCUGAUUGAGAGGGUCACACACACAGAGCCUCCGUUGGAACGACCAUCUCGACAGUCCCAAAGCAAGAAUGUACGACGGUGUUUGCAAAAGGUUGCAGACGGGCACUUUGCAACAGCCGUGAAGGUGUUGGCAUCAUCAGGGGUUGCUCUGAACACUCCAGAGACGCAGCGGGCUUUAGAGGAUAAACACCCGAAGCGUCCACCACCAUCUGUCCCCGACAUUCCUUUACUUGAGUCACCUUUGUCAGUUGAGAGGGAUGGGAUAUUAUCAUGCAUCAGGUCCUUCCCCAAAGGGACGUCUUGUGGGCGAGAUGGUCUCUGGGCCCAACACCUAUUGGAUGCUAUGAGUGGGGCUGCAUCAGUUGUAGCCUCAGAUCUUAUGGAGGCCUUGACACCGGUUGUGAACUUAUGGCUACAAGGUCGAUGUCCACGGGUCUUGACAGAGUUCAUAGCUAGUGCACCGCUCACCCCACUUCUUUAGCCAGGUAACGGCAUUCGCCCAAUAGCUGUGGGUAUGGUUUGGCGUCGCCUGGUGUCUAAGAUUGCCAUGAGAGGAGUUUCUAAGGAUAUUGUCCCAUACCUAGAGGAUUUUCAGUUUGGGGUUGGUGUGCCUGGUGGAGCAGAGGCAAUUUUGCAUGUCGUUAAUCGGUUGGUUUAUGCCAACAAGGAUGACACAUCGCUUUCUAUGCUGCUUGUGGACUUUCAGAAUGCCUUCAACCUUGUUGAUCGGUCUGCUAUGCUACGGGAGGUACGCAAUCAUUGUCCAUCUAUUGCUCUAUGGGUCGAAUACCUCUAUUGUCAACCUGCUCGAUUGUAUCUAGGGUCUACUCAUAUUUGGUCAGCAGCUGGGAUACAGCAGGGGGACCCUUUGGGGCCUCUUCUCUUUGCUUUAGUCUUGCAUCCAUUGAUACACCGCAUUCAGUCAGAAUGCCACUUGGAGUUGCAGGCAUGGUACUUAGAUGAUGGUACUCUGAUUGGUAGUACAGAACAUGUGGCUAGAGCUAUUCGUAUCAUUCAGGAAAGAGGAUCAUCUCUUGGGCUCGUGCUUAAUGUGUCUAAGACAGAGUUGUUCUGGCCUUCCGUUGAUCCUGACUGCUCCUAUCCAGAUAUCUUUCCGGUUGGUAUAUCAUGUCCUCAGCGUGGGGUUAAGUUGCUUGGAGGGGCUGUAAGUAUUGAUGCAUCAUUUAUUGUGGGUAAUGUUCGUCAACGAGUGGAUAAGACACUUCAACUUAUGGACUUAUUACCACAGCUAAUGGAUCCACAGUGUGAGUUGGCACUUUUACGUUCUUGUAUGGGAUUGUCUAAACUCACCUUUGCUCUCCGUACUUGCCCCCCCUGAUUAUGUUCAGGAAACAGCCGAAUGGUUUGACCACAAGCUUCGUGCAGCCCUUCAAAAUAUUGUGGUUUCUGAUGGACCUGGUUUUGGUGAUCUACAGUGGCAUAUGGCAACCCUCCCACUACGUAUGGGUGGACUUGGUAUCUAUUGUGCUACUGAUGUUAUGAAGUUUGCUUUCGUAGCUUCACGUACGCAAACCAAGGAUCUCCAGGACCACAUUCUUCGAGGUUGUGACACUCCACCUAUGGGUAAUGUUUUCGAUACUGCCAUUGAUAGUUUACAUCCUUCUAUACCUGAUUUUGAUCUCAGUAAUCUUGCUCCAACUGCUACCGUCCCCUUCAGACCCCAACAUGUUUUGGCGGAAGCAUACUACAACAAGAUUAGUUCUGGUCUU
This 74048-nucleotide long non-coding RNA is filed under the name Aquilegia coerulea. RNAcentral describes it as "long non-coding RNA (ACOE_LNC000764)". Lineage: Eukaryota; Viridiplantae; Streptophyta; Magnoliopsida; Ranunculales; Ranunculaceae. The record is from RNAcentral.